RNAcentral lists this long non-coding RNA (52978 nucleotides) under Vigna radiata. Its description in RNAcentral is "long non-coding RNA (VRAD_LNC002415)". Lineage: Eukaryota; Viridiplantae; Streptophyta; Magnoliopsida; Fabales; Fabaceae. The record is from RNAcentral.
GUCCUUCAACUUUAGAAAACUCUGGUUUUAGUCCUUUUUACCAAAUUUUUUUAACUUUAUUUUUUUGUUUCAAGCACGUUUCAUUGUAGCAUUUGAAUUGUUUAUACUGUUUGACAUAUUUUUGCUUCAAUGUUAACUGAGAAACACCUUUGAAAUAACAAAUAUAAAGUUAAAAAAAAAUUAAUAAAAAAGACUAAAAACGAAAUUUUCUAAAGGUGAAGGAUUAAAUUGUAUUAUAAUUUAAAAGAGGGACUAAAACCAAAAUCGCUGGUAAAGAAUAAAAACAUAUAUUUAACCCUUAUAAAUGUAUAAAUAUAAGUGCAAGAACACGAGUUAGAUGAAAGUUAUCGUGUCGUGAGAAAGUUUUCACUAUCUCCGCGUUUCAAUUAAUUCACGUUGCAGAGGUUUAAAUUGGCAGCGCCGACAUACCACUCCAAUUUCUUUCUUCGUUCACCAAAGCCACAACACAGUUUUGCUUUCGCUGAAUUUUCGUUACAGAAUGGGGAGGAGUAGCGGAAGAGACCGAAGACGAAGAAGAUCCGAUGAGUCGGAAUCCGAGUCACCGUCCGAUUCCGACUCGGACCGACGCCAUCGUAGCAGUAGCCGCAGGUCUAGGCGUGACUCAGACGGAGAUAGGAAGAAGAAGAAGAAAUCCUCGAUGAACAUUACAGAAGAGGAAAUCGCGCAGUACAUGACCAAAAGGGCCCAAUCGAAGGUCUUCAUCUAGUUUCCCUAUGCCCUUCUUGUCCCUUCACCGUUAGAAUUCGCAUAUUGAAUGACUUUCCAUUGUUUCAGGCUAUGAAAGUGGCAAAAAAGUUGAAAACCAGUACGGUGUCAGGCUAUUCCAACGAUUCGAAUCCGUUCGGUGACUCCAAUCUCAAUGAGAAGUAAGUUGCUGCCAAUUUGACUUUGUUCUUCGUAUCUGGUGGUUAAAUUAAACUUAUUUUUGCGUCACAAUACAUAAAUCUUGAGAUAAGUUGUGGUCGCUUUUAUAGAUUGUAAACCUACACAAAUGUUAUGUGUAGGUUUGUUUGGCGCAAGAAGAUUGAACGCGACGUUUCUCAAGGUGUGUCUAUUGAUACGUUUUCUGUUAAGGCCGAGAAAAAAAGACAGAUAGAAAGGAUGGUAUGUACUUGAAUCCAUGAAUUUUGUUUGGGUAAAAUGUGAUAUAGGUUCUCAAUUUUACCUUAAAAUUGAUUUUAGAUAUACUUUAUAAUCGAUAGAUUUUCUUCAUUGCAUAUUUUUGUAAUUCGCUGAAAGUUAAAGGGAUCUAUAACACAAUUUUCCCUUUUUAUUUUAACCGGCAUGAUACGGGAUAUAUGUUGCAUGGUCAUUAUUUGUUUCUACCUCUGCAACAUUUCCUAUACACUUGAUUUAAAAGCUUUAAAGCGAUAAUUAUAUAUCGGUAUCUUGAUACCAAUUUGGUUCCUGGACCAUGUAUGCAAAUGAUCUCAUAUAUAUACUUUUCCCCUUCAAUUUAGUUACCUCAUUGGGGAUGAAUGGGAAUCUGGUUUGCUUUCGUUAUAUUAAAAUAGGGUUUAUGGAAAAGGUCUAUGCAUGAGCUUGGUUUGGGUGCAAUGUCAAGGUUUUUGGGGUCUCUACCACUUUAAAUCUCAGAUAGAGAUUGCUGGUGGGCUUUCCUAAAAAUCAUAAAAUUACUAAUAUUAAUGACAUUUAUAAUUCAUAAGUAACAAUAAAAACUCAUAGAUGUCUUAAAGCAUACAAGUAAAUACCAACAAAAGUCUAAUGCAAUCUUCCUAUACAGGAAUCAUCAAUCAUCACCUUCAAAAUCCAGGCCUUUAUUAUUUUACUGCCACUGCAGCUGUAGAUCAUUUUUGGAAUUUCAAAUCCCAAACUUAGGUCCCCAAAAAGGCCCAAUGUAUCUGCGCAAAGCGAUUUCUUAGGAUCAACAUGUAGCGUCACUAUUAGGAAAUCAAUCAUAUGCCGAAAUUCUUGGAAUAAAAUAUUAUAACUGUUCAUAUAAGAUUAGUUGAUUUAUGAGGGUUCUAUUGUAGAUUAUAGGAACAUAAUAGCAUAAUUAUAGAUAUUAUCAAAAAUAUAAAAUUUUUAUUUUUUUAUUUUCGUUUUCCUUUUAUUUCCUUUCUUUACAUGUUAUAAAGGGUGACAACGAUCUUCUGCUCAACCAUUCCUCUCCCUUCUUUUUUUUUUCUAUCCUUGUUUCCAUGGCUAAUGAUGCAAAUAAACCAGAUUCCAACAAUUCUUAUUCUCUCCAUCACUCUGACCAUCAUGGAAUGAUUCUUGUUGUCCGCACCUGUUUUUUCACUCCAUACACCUUGAGUGUCUAUAUGGUAAAAUUCUUUCUUAUUCAUACAAUAGAGUUUUUUUAUGUCUUGCUUAUGCUACUAAUGUUCAUGUUUCUCAUUAGUUUUCUCCACGUACCCAAAGAUGUGUUUUUCUUGGUUAUCCUCUUCUAGUUCAGACAACUCACAAAUUAUAUGAUCCUGAAACUCAUCAAAUCAUAAUUGGUUAUGAUGUUUUCCAUGUGGAUAUUUUUCUCUAUGAAUCCAUUGACACUUCCCCAACCACCAUAGACCUUGUCAUACUUAAUAUUAUUCCUAAUAAUCUUACUUGGGAGACUCUUUCAUGCACUCAACCAACACCUACAAAACUCAUCCCUGUCACUUCUAUUGCUCUGCUUUCUCAUGUGUUGUUCCAGCUGUCUCAUGUUCAACCUGCAACUUUAGGUGAUUAUAUUUAGAUAACAUUUUUUGACCCAAUGUCAUCUUAAUCAUAUUUUCCAAACAAACAAAGGUACACAUAAUCUUUGCAAUUUUAUAUCUUAUGAUUGUUAAUUUGUUACACCCCUCAACAUCGGUCUUUUAUUGCCACUAUUACUAAUGAUAUUAAACCUACAUGUUAUGCUUAAGCUGCUUCUCAGACUCAUUGAUAAGAUGUCAUUGAGGCAAUGUCAUCUGUGUUGGCUGCUUUGGAGGCCGAUAAUGCUUGGUCUCGAACAUCUCUUACUACUGAAAAGUAGGCUAUUGGUUGUCAUUGGGUUGGGUGUAUACAAUCAAGCACAAAUCCUAUGGUUCUCUUGAACGGUAUAAGGUGCCCCUAGUUGCAAAGGGAUAUAUACAACUGGAAGGAAUUCCGUAUCAUGACACCUUUUCACCCAUUGCUAAAAUGGUUACAGUAUGCUGCUUAUUAGCUUUGGCAGCUGCUCAACAUUGAUUCUUCAUCAACUUGAUAUCCAUAAUGCUUUUAUUCAUGGUGAUCUUUCUGAAGAAAUCUAUGCAUCUCUUCCUCCUGGUUUUCAUCAAUAGGGGAGAAUAUUAUGCGUUGUCUCAGCAAGUCCUUAAAACCCUGGUCUUUGAGAUUGAAGUUGUGUUCACAAUUGCAUUUGUCCUCAAUUUCCUACAAAAUCAAGGAAUUUGACAACCAUGACUACAACUGCAACUUAAAAAUUUGUACUAAAUCUAUAGCUGGGAAUGGGUUCAAUGGAUUGAACUAGUCCAAUAAUAGUAGAUAUAGUUUUGAAUUAAAUUGUAUUGUGGUGACCCUUUGCGGCUUUGUUCUUUGCUUUCCCAAAUUUGUUGGUCCUUUUUUUGGUCAUUGAUGGCCUAACAGCUAAACGUUCUCACUUCUAUGAUAACAAUAUUGCAGGCAGAAAUUGAAAAAGUGAAAAAGAGAAGAGAGGAAAGGGCACUCGAGAAAGCUCGGCACGAGGAAGAAAUGGUAUGUCCUUUCUCAUAAUUUGUUAUUAGUCCAUAAUUAUUGUGUAGUGUUAACCUAUUAUUAGUUUUGGGCUUGUACUAGUUCUAUGGUACUUCAUUUUACACUUUACAUAAAUAUAAAGUUAUAUAUAAGUAUUACAUCAGCCUCUGGGAUCUCACGCAAUUAUAUUGUCUCCUUUCUAACUAUUUUGUUGAAUUUCAACAUUUGCCAUUUUUAUCAUGGCACUGUAUUUUUGUGUGGUCAUAUUCUAAUAUGAAACACCAAUCAUGUCCUUGCCAAUUAUGUCCUGUCCUUGUUUUUUGAUUUGUUUUUGGGGUUGGGGCACAAUGCUGUAUGGCUUUUCACUUGGCCCAAAUAUAGAAAUUUUCGAGUCAAGCCUAGGCUUGAUUUGUAGACUGUUGAUGGAGCAUAAACUAUGUUAUAUCAUCCUGAUUUAACAGAUUCUUUCUCCCAGGCACUGUUAGCUAGAGAACGUGCUCGAGCUGAGUUUCAGGACUGGGAAAAAAAAGAAGAAGAGGUACUGUAUCUUUAGUUGUUUUUAUUUAUUUGUUGUUAUUUUAUAUAAUAUUGUCAGUUUUAUUGACUUGGAUAAUUUAAUCUGCAGUUCCAUUUUGAUCAAAGCAAAGUUAGGUCAGAAAUUAGAUUGCGUGAAGGGCGUGCCAGACCAAUUGAUGUCCUAACCAAGCAUCUCAACGGCUCUGAUGAUUUGGAUAUAGAAAUAAAUGAACCAUAUAUGGUCUUCAAGGUUAUUUUAGAGUUUUUCUUUUCAUUUUAUUUGUCCUCACUGUUCUAAUGUUAUAUGGUAUGACUAAGGAUAUCCAGAUAAUAUUAUUGGACAAGCCACAUAAUGAUUUGAUAUAUGGUGCAGGGUUUGACUGUAAACGAAAUGAACGAGCUACGUGAUGACAUCAAAAUGCAUCUGGACCUUGACAGGGCAACACCAACUCAUGUAGAAUAUUGGGAGGUAUCACCCUGUUUCAUUUCCAUGGUUCAUUAUGGGAUACUUAAUUUAUGGGUUCUACCUUAUCUAUAUUAUGGCAACAACAAAUUGAGGAUACUAUUUAAACAAAAUUUGAGGUGCUUUGGAGCCCAAAUGACUUGUUGACUUUCAUGACCUUUUCCUGUUUCAGUUAAUUUGUAUGACUAGUAUGGUUGGUAUUGUGUUUAAAGUUCAAAGCACAUUGUUUAAUGUCGUCUUCAUGUAGGCACUCCUUCUGGUGUGUGAUUGGGAGCUAGCAGAAGUGCGAAAAAAGGAUGCGUUUGACCGAGCUAGAGUGCGAGGAGAAGAACCUCCUGCUGAGCUGCUUGCAGAAGAAAGGGGAUUGCAUUCCAGUGUUGAGCCAGAUGUAAAGAGGCUUUUGCAAGGAAAGACACGUGCAGAAUUGGAGGCUUUACAAGUUCACAUUGAAUCAGAAAUGCGUUCUGGUACAGCAAAGGUGGUUGAAUACUGGGAGGCCAUUUUAAAACAUCUCCACAUUUAUAAAGCCAAGGUAUUUCUCGUCACAUUAAUUUCCAAUUCUUUUCCAUGGCUUUAGGCAAUGGUUGGUUUUGACUAUUAUUAAAUUACUCCAAGUACAGGCUUGUUUGAAGGAAAUUCAUGCUAAAUUGCUACGUAAGCAUUUGCAAUCUCUCGAGAGACCAUUGGAGGAUGAAGAUAAAUUGGAGGAUGCUAAUGUUAUGAUACCUGACGAGGAGGAAGAUACAGAGGAUGAUAUUAAAGGUAAAAGAUUUUGUCUGUUAUGACAUUUAGUUGUACAUGAAAAAACUGUUAUUUCCAAUCAUCUCAAUUUUCAUACUGAAAUUUGUUGUUCCUUUUUCUUGCUAGUCCGAUCUCUAGAUGAAUCAUUUUCACCAGAACCCAUUAGAGGGGAACAAGAAGAUGAAGACGAGGCUGGAUCAUUUUCGCCACAACUGUUGCAUGGUGAUGAAAGUGAGGAAGCUAUUGACCCUGAAGAGGAUAGAGCCAUGCUGGUAAUAUUUCUAACCAUAAUUUUUAAUGGUGAUCUCCUACUUAAUUUAGAUAUUUUAUAACCCUGUACACUUAUAGGAGCGGAACCGCAAGGCUGUCUUAGAAGAACAGCAAAGACGAGUUCAGGAAGCAAUGAUAUCAAAGCCAGCUCCUUCUGAAGAUAAUUUUGAGAUGAAGGCUUUAAAAGCUAUGGGGGAUAUGGAAGAUGGAGAUGCGGUGUUUGGAUCUGGUGCUGAAGUGAGCCUGGAUUCCCAGGUAUAGUAUCUUGGCCUUCUAUGACAUGACAAUUACGGAAUGUCACAUGACAUUAACUUGCCCUUUGCUAUGAUUCUUUGAAUUUUUCAUCGGUAGAAAAAUAUGUAGUUAUUAUUAGAUAGGAUGCAACAUUCUGCAGCUCAUUUUUAAAAGGUAGACCAGUUUGUUUUUGUAUUAAAAGCUAUCUUUUCCUUUUUUUUCUCUAUAAAUUCCUUAGUUUUCUUUAGAGCUUUUCUCCAAAUGUAUUUUCCCCAACUUCUAUCAUUUAGAGUAGAAGAAAAGCUAUGGAAAAGUUAGGUGAAACACUACCUAAAGAGUGUGUUAUCAUGUAGUUAGUACACUCCCUGUGGUAUAGUUUCGUAUUUUUUAAUGAGAAAUCGAAAACUUGUUGUUUUUUCUCCUUUAAAUUUCCUAAUGGUCUGAAAAAUGUUGGAGCAGGUUUAUUGGUGGCAUGACAAAUACAGGCCUAGGAAGCCGAAGUAUUUCAACCGUGUUCACACUGGAUACGAGUGGAACAAAUAUAAUCAGACUCACUAUGAUCAUGACAACCCACCUCCAAAGAUUGUGCAAGGAUACAAAUUUAAUAUUUUCUAUCCUGAUCUUGUAGACAAGACAAAAGCCCCAACUUACACCAUUGAGAAGGAUGGCAGCAAUGGGGAGACUUGCAUUAUAAGAUUCCAUGCUGGGCCACCGUACGAAGACAUAGUAAGUCUAUUAUCCUUUGUGUUAUGAAGGAUAUUCAGUUUUUAAUCAAUUUACUUAUUUUAUUAUGUUUUCCAUCAGGCUUUCCGCAUCGUAAACAAAGAAUGGGAAUAUUCUCACAAGAAGGGUUUUAAGUGCACAUUUGAACGUGGAAUUCUGCACGUGUACUUUAAUUUCAAACGCCACCGCUACCGCAGAUAAUUUCGCUCAAGGCAAUGGUUUACUUUAUGUAAAGUUUUUCCUACUAGAAGGGCUACGUGUCUGCUGCCAUUUUUAAUCGUGAAAUUUGUGCCAUGGUGCUGGCAGUAGAUAUAAAUGGCCAGGAAGUUUACUACUGAGAUUGAGACCAGGAAGAAAUUCAAAGGUACUAUUAGAGUAAGUAAUACCCGCACCGGUUAAAGUCUGAUCCAAAUCUUAUCAUGAUAUUCUAGACUUGAUUUAAGGAAAUAGUACGGUUAUUCCAUUGCUAUAACUAAAUCGAGACCAAGGGUCUUUCCAAACGCUGAGAUACUAAUUACAUGUCUUAUUUUUUUAUUUUGGUGCACACAUUGUUCUCUGAAUCCUGUCUGAUUUAACUAGGUUUUCCUCAUCAUUGUAGAAAAUCACAUUGUCCAACUGUUUUUGUAGAAAAAGUUUAUAUUGUACCUUGAAAAUGGUUGUAAUCUCAUGAGGUGAAAGAAUUUGUACAAUUUGAUUUUCAUUAUAACCCUUCUUGCAUUUUGUUUAUAAUAUGCUCCUUGUUUUAGAAGGUGCCAGAUUUUCGGCUCAUGUGAUUGCUGAUUUUGCAUUAAAAAAAUUACACUAGGGAACCAUUGAAUGAGAGCAUGUUGAACUGGUAAAAGCUCAAGAAAUAAGAAUUUAGGUAGCCUUAAAAGAGUAGCGUGUUUGAUUUAAGUCAAUUCCAAUCUCACCCUCACUGGUUAUUUGUUGUACGUGAUCAAACAGAUUCAGACUAAUAGGUUUCUAUCGGUGAGUAGUGUUAUUUGAUGUUAAACUUUUCAAAUGUAUUGAUUUUUCACAUAUCCCCCAUCCGCGUAUUUGACAAAAUAAUGGGCGUACAUAUUCACACUAUUGUGUGUUUUUUUAUGUGGCAGUGUCAUGCUGUUACGGUUACAAGCGUAUCUUACAUUACUCUCUUAAUUAAUUGUUUGUCAGUAUAAGUUCUGGUUUUUUAUCAUAGGAAUUCUACUCUACAAUCAACGUAAGAAACAUUAUGGAUUCUUAUUUUAACCAGCGCUUCGAUUUUAAGUCUUAUAAUAUAAACGGAGUCAAAAAACAAAUAUUAUUCAACUUAACACGAGAUGUUUUGUUUUUGUUAAUUAGGUCAACAUAAUAACAAUAAACUGAAAGAAAGUUGAAUGAAUAAGGAUAUUGAAAGCAAUGGUGCCAUACUUUAAUAUUGAUGUUGAAUAAGGAUCAUAGACAGCAACCUUUAACAAUCAUUGAAGUUGUUGAAGAAUCAUUGACCACAACUUUUCAUAGUUGUUGAAGAAUCUAACACCAUAGCCUUAAGUGCUGGGAAUUAGAAUAAAGGCUGAACCAGGAAUGACACAACUGACCAUGGAAUUCCCCAGCUAAGCAAAACAUAUGGAAAAAAUAAAAUAAAAUGUUAAAAGGAUAAUCCUCAACAAAAUAUACAAAUACUUUCUUCAACACUUCUAUUUUUUAAAUACUGUUUUGUGGAGUAAAUAGUCUUUUUGAACAUGGAAAUAAAAGGCCGUGUAAGAUUAAUCUAUAAAACUAAUAAAAUGUUAUAAUUACGUAUAUGAAAUAUUAAACAAGUUUUAAACUUAAUCUGUUAUUUUUUUAAUUACAUGAAAGGUUAUUAUUUAAUUACAUUUUAUGUUUAUUUUUUACUAAUUAGUACACUUUCAACCCCCCCCCCCCCUUUUUGUAGUUUUAUGGACUACUUUAACUAUGUUUUUUUAAUUUUAAGGAAUAAAAGAACUCUUUAAACAUAAUUCUAUUUUGUAUUAUUUUCCAUAAAUUAAAACAAAAAUGAAAGAGAACAACUGUUUUGGUCGACUGAAAGAAAUGAAAUUGAUUUAAUAAAAUGUCAUUAUUUAUUAUUAUUUGAUUUCUUUGAGAAAAUUGAAAUAAAAAGACAUAUGGCAUAACAUUUACGACGUGUUUUCUAUUAUUUUAUUCGAGAUUAGCAUAAACAACAUUCAUCGAUUUCCUUAUCAAUUCACCUAACCAUUGUUUAAACAUCAAUAAGUGUACGGUAGCUUUAUUUUAUUUCAUUAAACCCAUCAUUAAAAUAUAUAUGAACACGUAUAGUAAUGUUUGAAUUCGUUAAAAACUGAAAUAAAAUGCCAUUAAUCUCAUUAUUUAAAUUGUUUAAAAAUUAGAUAACCUCAUGCAUAAUAUUAUUAUUAUUAUUAUUAUUUUAUUUCAUUUUUAUCCUAUAUAUUUUUUUUCUUUUAGUGUAAAAUAUAACAAUAAUUUACAUCUCUUCACAAAAUUUACGUUUUGUUUGAAUUAAACGAUGCAAAAUGAAAUUAUAUAAAAUAAAUAGAGUAAGAGAAUAACAAAAUAAGUAAAAAACUAUUUAAAUUAAAAAAACGAAAAAAAAUAUUUCUACCAUAAUAUUAUUUUAAUUAUUUUUAUAUUUAUAUUUUAUGAUUUUUAUUAUUUUAUAAAUAUUUGAAAAUUAAAAAGCAACAUAACUAACUAAUUAUGAUUAUAUUAUAUAUCGAUUAAGGUAUCAACAUGCAAAUUUAAUAGAUUAUAUUGAGUUUUUGUGUUUUUCUUUUUUCUUUUUCGAAGUUGAAUUUGCAUAAUAUUUUGCAGUUUCUACAUUGGUGACUGAAACGACACCCAUGUGCAUAUUUUAAUCUGUUUUAAUAUUGUAACAUAGGUGUUUAGGCAAUAAUUAUCAAAAUUUGGAUAGAGAAAAUAUAAAUAAACUGUGUUAAUCAUUAGAUGUGCUAGACAUACAUAGAAAAUAUUACUAUCUGCAUGCAUGCUUCCUUAGUUUGUCUGCACGUGUCUUUCUGUACUAGACAUCAGUUUAUGGUCACGCUUAAGUAAUAAUUCAAUUUACAAUUUUCGUUUUCUUUUCAACUUUCCAAUAUAAAAGGUUUUUUCUUUUCUCAAAGUUGAAAUGAUUUAGGUUAAAGUUAGUGGCAUGCAACUGGAGGACCCAAAUUAAGAAAUAUCAUUUUAAAAGAGUAAUUUUUGUUCUCUUGAUGAAAGUUUACUCCAAAAGAUUUAUAUAAUGAAAUGGGAUUAUUCACAUAAAAAACAGGUUUAAUGCUUAAUGAUAUGGGUUUGGUUGUUAAUGGAUAUAUAGAAGAAUAGCGUAGUGGUGGCUGCGCGUGGACCUAGGAUGUGGAAUUUGCAUAAUUACUUGGCUACUACGAAUCUAGUGUUGCCAUUACCAAGACCUGCUAAAUUUUUUGUGAUGAUUACUUUCCCAUAUUGCAAGGAAGAAGAAGUCUGUAAAGUUUGGAGAAUAAUGCAAAAUCAAACAUAAGAGGAACUAAUCACAUUGCUUUUGACUUAUCCCACUUAAAAGUGCUUUUUAAUUUUUCCCAGUUCUUCCCAACCCAAUCAAAUCCUUUGGAAUCACUUUACUUCCUUUCUCAGUGGGCUAAUCACUAUCAUUGCCACUACCUUCUUUUUCUAUCAAUACAGAUACUAAUAAUAAUUAAAUACUAUAUAUCUACUACACACUUCAUUUAUAAUCAAACACAAACCACACGUGUACCUACUAUUUCACUCUCCUUCUUCAAUCCUAAUUAUGCAUAGUAGCUUUUGAACAAUAUCCUUCAUACUUGGCCUUUCAGCUUUCUUCUCUCUCAGACAUUCAAGUGCAAGCUCCAAGAACACUUUUAUGCUUGUCAACAUUUUAUCUCCCGAGCUCUCUAUCGAAAGAAGCCUUUGAUCCACCAAUUCCAUGAUUGUACCAUUGCUCGCACGUUGGUUCACAUGAAUUGCCAGGUUCACAUCAUCUUCAUCACGACUGAAGUCAAUCGCUUUUUGUGAAGUCAAAAGCUCUAGCAACACAACCCCAUAACUAUAAACAUCACUUUUAUCUGUUAACUGAUAGUUGCGGUAGUAUUCAGGAUCCAAGUACCCCAACGUUCCCUGAGCACAUGUUGAAACGUGACUUAGUCCUGGGCUAGCCAAUCUGGAGAGUCCAAAAUCUGAUACCUUGGCAUUGAAAUCAUCAUCCAAUAGUAUGUUUGUUGACUUAACAUCUCUGUGGUAGAUUGGAGUGUGUGCAGCCGAAUGCAGGUAGGCCAAUGCCUCUGCAGUUUGAAAAGCAACCUUGAGCCUCGUUUUCCAGUUUAGAAAGUUGGAACAAUACUUGCCAUGAAGAUGGUCGUAGAGUGUCCCGUUUGAGAUAUAGUCGUAGAUCAUAAAUGGUAGCUCAGAUUCCACACAGCACCCCAAGAGCCUGACCAAGUUCUUGUGAUUGACUUGAGAGAGUAUUGCAACCUCAUUAAGCACUUGUUGGGUGCUUUUCAGGUUUCCCACUCUAGCUUUCUUCACUGCCACUAAUGUUCCAUCUUGUAGCUCACCUUUGUAAACUUCCCCAAAGCCACCACUUCCCAAGAACCUCUGUUGGGAAAAACCAUUUGUUGCUUUCUUCACCUCUUUCAAUUGAAACAUCCUACAAGGCUUAUCCCCAGCACUUGAUUUCAGUUUGUCUUCUCUUUCCUUCGCUUUAUUAUCUCUAUAGGUUGAGAUUUUGCGGGACUUUGAGAUGAUGGUCAGAACCACAACGAGAGAGAAAAAGGUAACAACAGCCCCUAUUGAAACCACCAAGCUGGUUUUCCAUUUGGGUUUUCUCUCAUACUUCACACUCACACACGUUGUGACAAAAGGGUCCCAACGGUGUCCCCCAUUACAAAGACAGCGAAAUAAACCACUUCUACCAGAAGGGGAACACGUAGAGUCUCCAGAGCAAUCCUUUUGUGUCUUGCACACUGGUUCAGGUGGAAGAGCCCAUUGAAUUUCAAGCCCUUCCUCCCACUGAUUAGGAGGCUUGUCCUGGUUCAAAUGAAGGAUGCUUCUGAAUGCUUUGCAGCCAGACUCAUGAAGCCUGAUCCUGUAAGCUGAAGGUAUCCCACCGGCUAGAAAAGUGCAGCAAGGGUGAAGACCGCUUGCACAAUCAAGCGCUCGUUUUGUGUCAACAUGACCUGAACUCUCUAAGUAACGAUGGCAAACACUAGAAUAAGUGCAGUUGAGAGGAGAAACCAAGAGGCGUGGGGAGCAAUUAAGGAGGAACACUGUAUUGGAUGAAGUUAUAUUGAAAGGAAGUGACUGGUUCAACCAUAUACCGUUGCUUCUGGGCAUGUCUUGUGUAACACAGGAACCUGCUAACCAAGGUGAUGGCUCCACCACCAUGCGUUGGAUUGAAGGCAUGAUUCGGAGAAGGAGAUAGGAACUUCCAUUGAGGGUGUCGAAGUAAAGCUUUUGAGAGUGGGAAUCACAACGAAGCUUGUAGUAUGGAUCACCACAACUUGGAUGUGUGCUCAAAGGAUAUGGAACUUGCAUAGAGCCACAGUUUGGGCAAGUGUUCUGUGAAGCAGUGUGAUGGAGAAGGAGAAUGAAAAGAAAUAGAAAGGUAUAAGAAUAGCAACAAUGGAAGCAGGGUCUCAUGUUGCAUGGGGAAUUAUUAGGGAAGAAACAUCUUAUGAACUGAAAGAUACACGAUCAAUAAAUAUAAAGGGUGCACCCAGUUACUGCAGAAAAAAGUGGCUGCAAGAAUCUACCACAACGAAUACUAUUCUAGCCCAUCCUACACCUUAGGUCCACCUUCGCCAACUGUAUAAUUCUCGGAAGCUCAUAUUUAAACAAAUAUUUUUAACAAUUUUUUUAGAACACAACACUCUCACCAUUUUAUUAGUAUGUUUGAAUUUAUUUUAAAAAAAAUAUUUGAAAUGGAUUAAUUAUAAACUCUCACGUAUGCAUUGUCAAAAAAGAAUUGUUAAAAAAAUUGUUUCCAUGAUUCUUGGAUCGUGAUAUUUUGAAAACUAUUAAAAGAAAUUUUUUCAUAAAAAAAAAAUUCUUUUAACAAUAAUUUUUUAAUAACUUUUUGAUAAUACAGUUAUGAUUAGUUCAUUUUAAACAUUUUUAAAACAUAAAUUCAAAUAGACUAAUAAAAUGAUAACAUAUAGUUUGUCAUAAUAUCAUCAUCUUUUUCAUAAUUCUCAAGCAUAUUUUUAUAAUAUCAUCAUCUUUUUCAUAAUUCUCAAGCAUAUUUAUAUGGAGAGUUAAUUUUUCUUUUACCUAAAUGGACAUGCCAUGUUACGUAUGGACAAAUUUUAAAAAUAUUAAUAGGCAAGUUGUGGAAUCCCGUGUAUAUCUUCAAGACGCCUUCAAGUCUAACAAAUGGAAAAGUUGAAGUUGUGCAUACAGCUUCAAUUACAUGACUACAACUUAUAAUUGAUUACAUCUUCGGUGUAAUCAAUUACCAAGCAUUUAAUGGUAAAACACUAUUUUAAUUGAUUACAGAUAUUAGUAAUCGAUUAUCCUACGAGAGUUUGCUAUAGAAGACAUAUUUUAACCGUUGAUUAAAUGAUUUCUAGUUUAUAUUAAUAAUAAUGUAGGUAGAAUAUCGUAAAAUACAAGGUAGAAGACUAAAUUAAUAAUAGUAAAAAAUUAUGAAUACAAAGAUGUAAAAAUUAUUGAUGAAAUGAAGAUGUUUUUUAUGAUGACUUUUGUUGUGAGAUUAAGAACAACUUUUAGAUUUAUCCAAGAUUGGGAAUUACAUCCUCGAAUAAUUAAUUACACUGAUGAUAUAAUAAAUUAACAUUAUAGAGUAGACUAUAACUUGUAGUAAUCUAUUACCACACAUUAAAAUUGUGUGAGGGUACUCAACUUCAACUUUUCACAUUUGUCUCUGGAAUUGUUUUUGUGAAUGCAUCACUUCUUUAUAUAAAAUUAUACGGAAAUUACACGAGUUAUCAUUUAGGUAAUUUUUUUAAAAUUUGUCUAUACAAUAUUUGCCCAAGAAAAAAAAAAGUUAAUUAUUAUGAAUAAAAAUAUUAUUUUGAUAAUUUUUAUAAACGUAUCUUAUUUAAAAGUAAAGAAAAUUAUGUAAAUGAUUUUUUUUUUCAAUUUUAAACAACUCGGCAUUAAAAUUAUAAGUAACUUUUUUUACAAAUCUCUAAAACAUUUAAAACCGAAUCAAACUCGAUCCAUCUUUUAGUUCUUUUAAUUAUAUGUUAUCCAAAAUUUAAUAUAGAUUAUGAUGGUUUAUUUAUAUAAUAUUUUUUUAUGUUAGAAUUAAUGUUGAAUAAAAUUUGUUAGAAUAAGUUUUGGGUGAUUCCAAUAUCAUCUUAAAAAAAAUUAAAUUUAAUCAAACUUUACAAAGAAGAGAGAUUUAUAAGAUGGGACUUAUGUCUCCCUAUAUACUUGAAACUUAUUUUAUGUAAAAUCUUUAAUAUGAACUCUUUUUUUUUAUCGUGAAAGGACAAUUUUCUUUAAAGUUAAAAUAUAAUUAUUAUAUUUUGUUGUGAAAUUAAGUUAGUCUUACAAUAAUUUAAAAUAUAUUUUUUAUAUUGAUUAUAAUUUAUCAAGUAUAAAAAAUGGCACAGAUAAUACUUUUUUAUACUGGUGAUAGUUAUAAUCAAUAUAAAAAGUGGAUAGGUGAUUUUUGUGAUAAAUAAAAACAUUUAUCAAUUCUAAUUUUAAUCGGCAUAGAAAAUGGAUGCAAUAAUAUAUUUGUAAUAAAUUAAAAAAAAUUCUAUAUCAAUUAUGUUUUUAUAAUAAAUAAAAAAAUUUUCAAUACCAAUUUUAAUUAUAACCAAUUUAGAAAAUAGUUUCUUAUAUUUUUUAUUUAUUUAUAAACAAAAACCUAUACUUAAACCUUUCAACUUUUGAAAUCCUUAAGCAGAACCACGCAUUUCAAUCGUGAAUCCUUUUUUUCCUAAUCAAGCCACCUUCGUGCAACCACGACACUAGGAGGUCGCCACUGUGAUGCUGACGUCAGCGACUACCUUUGCUAGUGUGAGUUCUUCUUCUCACGAUGAGGCUCGUCUACUUGUCAUUUCUCCUCUGCACUUACUACCAUGAGCAUGCAUGGGUCUCCUUUUCUUGCGCCUCAACACCCUCGUCAUUGAUAGGAAACAAUGUUCGAGCAAGGAGGCGCGUAAUCAUGAAUAGGGUAUAGGGUCCUUGGUACUUUUGGAUCUAUUUAGUUUAUUGAUUGUGUUGUUGGAGCUGCUUUGUGUGCUACUAAAAAUUGCUUACCUAGUUAGAUUUGUUGAGCUUGUUGUUGUUAAUACUUUGUUCACUAAAUUGGAAUAUUUGGCCUCAAGAGCAUUAAAUCUAGUGGAGAGAUCUUGGUUUUGUAUGUUACUAUUGUUCGAGGAUGUCUGGUCUUCAUUUCGUGGACUCGAAUUUGAACAGUGCAGUUUUUGUAAGAAAAUGGUUAACACUUGUGCAAAUGAAUGAAGACAACCAAUUUGGACCAACAAUGUUUUGUCGAAAUCAACAGUAUCUAACUAAGCUUAACGUCAUCUUUGUUAACCUCGAUAAAAUCUGACCGAGCUCAUCAAUUUAGUCCGAAAACCUUUUGUUAUUGUUUUAUUCAUUACUUGACAUUUUUAAUAUACCACUUACAAAAAGUUUAAGUUAUAAUGAGACGGAUUUAGUCAAAUAAGGUAAACUUUUGAAAUUUUGGAAGGAUUUGGACAAAUUUUUAUAUACCAAUUAUACCUUUAACGGAUAUAAAAAGUAAUAUAAAAUCAAUCUCUUUUGUUCGUGGAAGUUAAGUUGUUAAAGCUUGGAUUCUUAUUCUUUCUUUUGCUUGAUGUGUAUCGUUUUUUUUUUUUUUUUUUUGUGUUAUGUCGGUGUGGUUCAUAUCACAAUCCUUUUGUAAAUUAAAAGAUCGAACCUUGCUUUGAAAUAAAAAGAAUCGAACAAUCGAUAUGAGUCUUGGUGAACCUCAAAAAUUGUAUUGCAUGAUAAAAGUAUAUUCUUUCCUGCUCUAGAAAAUCCUAUCAUCCUUAUCUUUCCUUAUGAAUCCUAACCUAAUCAAAGUCAAGAAGCCUCUCGUUGAUUUUCCUUAAAAAGGUCAUUGAUUUCACUUAUUUGCUGAUAUAAAAAAUCCUUAGACUUAUAUGCAUUUAUGUUACAAUAGUCUUUCCUAACUUAAAUUGAGUGUGGGCGUUUCCAUGGACAACAUCUCCAUCAUCCAGCUUGAACUCUGAUGGACGCAAUCAUAGAAUUUUGGACACGCAAUCAGAAAAGGAACAAAUGUCAUAAAAAUGGUGGUCAUGAAUGGCAUCAAACUUUCGUAGCCAUAUAUACACUCUCUUUAUAAGGUGCAAAGUGAAAAGGUUUUUGGCAUGUACUCAAUUCUUUCAGUGUUUCUCUUUCUUUUACACAAGCGAUCAUAGUGGAGAAAUUAUAGUAAUUUAAAUAUAUCAAAAUGCAAGACCAUUAUACUUAUUGCAGUAUGAGUAAUUAUAUCAAAAUGCAAGACACAUUGAUCAUAUAUGCAUGCGCAACCACAUUAAUAUUAAACCAUUAUAAUAUCGCCAUGUGAAUUGAAGUUGAAGGUUCAAAUUAACAAUUAUACUGCUAUACUUGAGAACGGUGAAAAUGGAGUUGACAUGAACUCUCACAUCAGUAGAAAAGAAAUAGCUAACCUGGUAAUAUAGUUCACAAAUGGUAAAUGAUGUCCUUUUGCUGUUGGCUGUCACGCAAUAUAAUGAAGAUAUUCUUAGUGUUUUUUCAUGUACAAAGUGGGAGAAAAGAUUCUGCAUAACAAAAAACACUACACACAUUAUAUAUAGUUUAUUUCUAUCUCAGUAAGAAAAAGUAAACACACUUAUCAUCCUCUUGCACCAUAAAAUUUACAAUCAUUUUAUACAGGAAGAAGAAGAAUUACUAUCUAUAUCUAGACGAAAAGAAUAUCAGUUAGCUUUCCCGCUGGUAUAAAAAUCUUACACAUUAAUUAAUUGGGUAAUGAUAUUUUAACAACACUUUUUGACAACAUUUUUUACAACGAACAGGACACGCGUCAUCAAUUUAUUGAUCUAUUUGAAUUUAUUUUUAAAAAAUAUUUAAAACGGACCAAUCACAAACUGUUACGUAUGCUUUGGGAAAAAAUUGUUAAAAAAAUAUUAUUAAACGAAGUUUUUCCUAAUUAAUUAGAAGUUAAUUUAGAUAUUAAAAAAAUUAAUUAUCUUAUUAUAAACAAAAACAAUUAAUUUUCGUAUUUUGAAGGGUUAAUUUUUAUCUCACAACAUACCUCUGUCAAAAAACAAAAAGUAGAGGAUAUACCGUUUACGCCCAACAAAACAAUUCAAAUAUGUGUAAAUAUGUUAUGAAUGUUUGUAUUAAAGUUGUUUUAAUGUUUUCAUUUUUAAUUAAUUUGUCUACAAAAACUGCUUAUUUUUCUCUUUUCAUAUAUAAGUUUACUUGUAUUUUUAAUAUUUUCAAUUAUCUUGAAUUUAUUUCUAAUUUUUUAAUUUAGCCUCUAUUAUUAUAACAAUGUAAUUUUGGUUUAUCUAUUUAUUUGACAUUUAAUUUUAAUAUAAAAAUUAUAUGGCAUUCUAUUAUAAUAUUAUGUAGUAAAUUUAUAUUGGUGUGAUGAAAUUUUAGAUAAUUUCACGUUGUUGUUUUUAUUAAAUAUUAUUAAUGAAAACACAUGUGACUAUGCGUGUUUAUUUUUAUUUGAUAAUAAAAAUAAUGAAAUUAUUAUUAUAAAAAUAAAUAUAAAUAAUUUUUUAUUUAUUUUGUAGAUAUUUUUAUUUAUUGGGUAGAUAAUUUUAUUUAUUUAAUUUAAAAAAUUAUAUUUAAAAAAUAAGCUAAAUUUGAAUAAAAUAGUAACACGGAUAAAAAAAAUAGACACUAAGAAUAAAAAUUUCCUUUAUAUAUAAAUAUAGAAGUAAAAAUAAUAAAUAAUUAAUUAGUGCAACUCUAAACUCGACAUAUAGUUUGCUUCUGGUAUUGAUAUCUAGUCCCAGCUAAAAAUAUUAUAAACUUAAAAUAAGUCAACUUAAAAUAAGUCAACUUAAAAUGAGAAGAUUACAAUAAGUAAAAGUACAAUUAAGUAUUUUUUAUAAGCAUAGCUUAUCGUGGACACUCUACUUAAUAUUAUAGUAGUAAGAAAAAGACAAUUUAUAAACAAUGGUUUUAUGCAUGUUAAGAGUCAAAUUUAGUGCCUAAGAUAAUGUGAUAAACAAUGUUCACUUACAAAUGUCUAUUUUUUAGGAAUUGGUGGCCAUCAGGGGCUAGGGCGUCGUCUUUUUACUUAUAGCUAUCUUUUAUUGUAUUUUCGCUUAAUUCCAUAAUUUUUUACAAAAUAUUUACACCUUCAUAAUUUUUAUUUUUAAUUUUGUAAAUAUUAGUAUGUCGUAUAUAAAAUUAUACAUUUGUUUUCAAUUGGUUGUCGAAUUAUUAAAUGUUUAAGUUAUAAUAAGUCAUACAAGAUCAAGUUGGGUAGUCCAUUUUGAUAUAUUGUUUUUAUCUGAGAAGAUUGAUUUACCUUUUUGCGACCACAGUGUAAUAAGUAAACAACAUAGAUUGAAGUUGGCUAGAAUUACUAAAGCAAAUACAUAUUAGACUUGAUUCAUUAUAAUAUGAGAAAAUUAUUGAAAUUAUCCCUAGGAGUGACAAUAUUUUGUGUCAAUUAAUGAUUAUUUCAAGAGAUUGUGAUGUACCUUAUCAAGAGGAAGUCAAAUUUACUUGUAUUCAAGGAAUCAAAAACACGAGUAAAGCUUUAAACUAGAAAAAGAAUUUAAGUGCUUAGACUAUGCUAGCAAUGUGAAGAAGUAUCGCCUGUGGGGUCCCACUACCCGCAAGAUUAGUAUUAGUAGGGAUGCAAUUGAUGCUUCAACCAAAAGGCUUUAAAGAAUAAGAAAAGUUGGUUUUCACGUUGAACAAAUCUUUGUAUCGUUUAAAUUAGACGUCUAGGUGUUCGUACAAGAAAAUUUGAUUCCUUCACUAGCCUUGGUUACAACAAACAAAGUUUAGACCAUUGUGCUUAUUACAAUAGGUUUGGUGAAAAUGAUUUUAUCAUAUUCUUUUUAUAUGUGGGUGACAUAUUUGUGGUAAGUCUCAACAAAGUUUGAAUCAGAAAUUGAAGGCAUAGUUGGCUGAGAAGUUUGAUAAGAAAGACUCAGGACCAACAAAUAAGAUUUUAGGGAUGCAAAUUCAUCGAGAUACAAAAGAUAGGAAGAUUUGGCUUUCUCGGAAGAAAUACUUAUCGAAGAUCUUGUAGUGCUUUAACAUGCAAGAUUGCAAGCCAAUAUUUAUCCUAUUUUCUAUCAGUUGUAUAUUAUCCUUAAAUAUGAGUCCUAUCAGUAAAGCGAAGAGGAUGAAAAGAGUAUACUGUGCAUCGAGGGUGUGUAGCCUUAUGAAUAUUAUGAUGUUUACAAAACUAGAUAUUACACAAAUAGUGAAAGUGGUUAAUAGAUUUAUUGACAAUCAAGGUGGUUAGCAUUUGAAAAUAAACAACAUGGAUGACAAAGUACUAUGUGGAUACAUGGAUAUUUGAUUAGUUUAAUCAAAAUUGUGAAGGACAAAAGUUUCACAUUUGUGGAAACUUCUAUGGAGCCUUGAUGUGUUCUUAUAUAAAUAGACCAUGGUUCCUUAACAUCUCUUUCUCCUUUCCCUUGUAUGUUGGAGAGAAAAUUCCAAGAAAGAAUAUUAGUUUCAUUUAGAGAUUUUAAUAUUUGUUUUUUUAUUUCUUACAACAAAAGAGAAUAUUAUAUAAUUUUUACCAUUAGUAUAAAUUUUCAUUUGUGGAUAUUUUUCUCAUUUUUACUUGUGUGAACUUAUACAAUUUGUCUCCUACUUAAUAUUGAGUUGAUGUUUAACGAGUGAAAGAAUUAUAUAUUGAUCGACAAAAUAAUUUUUGGUAAAAAAAUGUUUAUAUUUUUCUUGAAACUUAAGAUUAUUUAAAGUCUUCUUUAGUUUUUAAAAUAUCAUAUAGUAAGAUAAAAAAAAAAGUGUGAUAAGAACUUGAUAAAAGAAUAAUAAGAUAAGAAUUAAUCAUCCUGAGAAUUUGAUAUAAAAUACAGGAAUUAUACUUAACAUAUGUUCGUAAAGGAGAGAUAAGAAAUGAUAUAUAAUAUUUGAGAAAUUAAAAAUAUACUUAAUUUUGAUUGUACUUAUAUUAUGUAUAUAUAUACACUUAUAUAUAUAUAUAUAUAUAUAUAUAUAUAUAUAUAUAUAUUCACCGUUGAAUCAGUUUUUUUACCUGCAUUGUAAAGAUAUGUAUAUUAGUUGAACUGUAGUUUGCAAACUAAAGUCUGCAUUUUAUGGGAGACAAAGUUUUAUCUUCCGAUAAUGUUUAGUAUUAAGUAGUAACGAGUAUUUUAAAAUUAAAAAAAAAUGACACUUCAUGAAAGGCCAAAUGAAUCAACUUUUAGAAACAUCUAAAAGAAACAAACAUGGUUAUAAUACUAAAUCAUCUUAAACCUUAAACAUUAUUCUUUGGUUGGAGAUCUCAUAUAAGUUAGAAUUAAGACUAAAUCAUGGUUAAUAAGUGAAAACAAAUGUCAUGAGGAUUAUACGACUGUAUCUUACAUUUAAACCUAUUAUGGGUGGGUUGUUACUUGUACAUGUAGCUGGUGUUACACUAUGCUGAAUACCUAUUUACAAUGUAAAUAGAUAAACACCUUCAAAUUUGAUGAGAUAUGUUAAUGGUAGAUAACAUUGUGGUAGAUAUAUGUUUCAAACUGAAGGAGGAAGGAGCUAGCUAGUGUUCAGAGUGACUGCUUCUGUGCCAAACUGGGAAGCUUCUUGGUAACAGCUAUAGCACAUAGUAGUAACUUGGCUCAAGCACUAGAACAUGAUUUCCUUCUAGGAACUACAUUUUCUUCUGUCCCUUUGGAAACAGAAUGCCUAACUCUAGCCUUUUCACUGCCUUCCACCCAUCUCUUGAGCCUUUCAAGCAACUUUGUCCUUUUUGAAGAACCACUGUCACUGUGAUCAUGGCCACCACGAUGUUCAUCAAAGGAAGGAUCGCUGUGUAGUUCGUGCUCUGAGUCAUAAUGGAUGACCACAUCAUUUCUUCCAAAUUCCAAUUCUGAAUGGAUUUUAUCUUGAUCCUGUUGUUGUUCAUGAGGCCUCUUUAGAUCAUGCCUUAAACAGGCAUUGGUCCACCGCAAGUAAAUCAGUUCUUUUGCUUCAUCUGCUCGUUCUUUCUUCAUCUGCUCUAGUUCAUCCACAACCUGUUUGUACUCUUCCCUACUUACAUCUCCACCUUCAAUCUGCAAAUGGAAAACCUUAUAUUGUAUCCUUAUAAACUCUCCCUUCAAAGAAACAAUUAACAACUAAAAUAGUUAUCUUUUUAGUAACACUACUAUUAUUUUGAUUAUUGAUCUGAGAAGCCUUCUAGGUUUGAACCAGUAAAUGAUGGGUUUUAUGCAUUGCUUACCCUUGAAGCAUGUGAUUUUUCUGCUGUGUCAAGCUUCUUCAGAAGUUCAUUCUUUUCAUUCUGCAAUUGAUCCAAAUCCCUCUUCAGCUCUUCCAUUUUAUCCUCUAAUUUACCUAUGACAUCAACUUUUGUUUCCAAGGCAUCACGGCUUCUCAAGAUUUCUUCUUCUUCCAUUUUUAUCUUCAAAGCCUGCUCCUUGGCCACGCGGGUUUGUGCCUUUGAUUUCCUCGUUAGCUUCUGAAAUUUCCUCCGAAGCAUUCUAUUCUCAGAUUUCAAACGCUCAAUCUGUUCUACAACUCUGAGAUAUUGAGCAGCAAAACUCUCCAACCUCCUAUUCUGUGUCUCCACCGAUGAAAUCUCCCUAUCCAAGAAGUCAACUCGAGCAGUCUCAAGUGACAACAUGUUUUUGAUCUCCCCAACCACCAUUUCUUGCUCUUUCAACCCACAAUAACGAUCAAACUGCAAACGCAAGGCCAACUCUUUCAUUUGCAUACCCUCAAUCCUGCUUCUUAAGCCAUUAAUCUCCUCUUCUAAACAUGGGAUGUCAGGGAUCAGAAAACUUUCAGCAACAACACUUUCAUCCAAAGUUGUACUAUUUCCUUCAUCUUCCAUACAAGAGAGGCUAUGGCUAUGACAACUUUCUUCAUAUGAAGGGUCGUGAUGGGAAUCGCUUUCAUGGGAACUUGCUCCAUUUGGUGAUAAAGAAGAGGUUUUAGAGAGGCUUUUCUUUGCCACGAACCAAGCAUAGACAAAACCAGCAAAAGACACAGCCAAAGGAACACCUGCUUUGAGGAUCACUGGCUUCAGGACCUCAUGCUUUGAUGUUGAGUUUUCCAUUCUGAAGAACAGAGACAAGUAUAAUUUCAGAGAUUUGGUUAGACUUUUAUUUUGAUCAAAAACACAAUGGAAGACACUAAAUAUAUUGAUUUGAUUCUUGUUGUGCGUCGCGUUAGCAAAGAUUUGAAAGAUGGUUUCCUUUUAGAGGAAGAAGCACAAUGAUAUAGCUUUUUGACUUCCCCUGGAGGCCUUCUACGCCACCAAAUGCUGUCAACUACCUUCUUCUUCCUCUUUGGAAUCUAAUUCUUUUCUGAAUUAACAAAAAUUUUGGCUUCUUUCCUUCUACGGUAAACCAUGCUGUGAGGGUAUAGUUUUCACAUUUCUAAAGCUUGAGCAUUUACAGGGAAAAUGAACUCCAUUUCGCUGUGAAAAAUUAUUCCUUGAAUGGUGUGAUUUCACAUAAUCAGGUUGGAAUCAAGACUUUGUAUAAAUUAUUUGGAUUUCAUUAUUAGAUCAAAUGUAGUAAGUAUGAUGAUUUUGUGUCUCGGGAUUAGGGUUUAUGGGUGAUGAUACUAAUUAAGUGACUAUAAAACUUAAAUAUAUUUGUAAGUUUCUCGAUUUAAUAUAAUUAAUUUUUAGUCUUUUAAAAAGUUUAGGAAAAUUAAUUUUUUUCAUUCAUCCUUCUUUUACAUCAUCUUACUUUUUUGAGGCAGGGAGAGUAAGGAAAGGAAUAAUCCUACUUUUACUUUUUGUUGUAUUUUUAUCUAUGUAUAUUUUUUUUUUUAUAUACUAACUAUUGAUUUUAUUUUAUUCUUGUGUUAGUGCGUUCUCCAUUGCCAAGUUUGAUAUUAUUCUUUCUACUUUAAUUUUGGAAAAUGUUCCAGAAUAAAAGAGAUCAUGCCAAAAAAAACUAUAGAAUACAAACUCGUGAAUCUUUUAACUUAAACUUUAUGAAAAAAUUAUAGUUGACCAUGUACUUCACUAAAUGAUCUGAGAUCAAUUUUAUCAUAAAAUAGACUUAAAAAAAUUAGUUUAGGCUUCUGAAUAUCCAAAAAAUUGUUUUCAAAUGAAAUAUAUAUAUAUAGUUAACUUUGUUUCGUUUAAAUACCUAGUUUUCGUAUUUUCUUCAUUUCAAUAAACUUGAAACCGUAUUUAUUAAAACAGAGACUAAGAAAAAUCUUUAACUUUGACUUUUUUUUAUUCGCUUAUAAAGCUUUUAAAAAAAUUAGUUAUGUUUUUAAUGUCGAUGCUUCAAAAUCUGAAAAGUUUAGGAAACCUUUUUUUUUUUUUUUAAUUUUCUAUUCUUUUGAUAAAUAGUUUUAAAAAACUUGGUUAAAUAUUAUGAAGUUACUGAGAUUCUCAAUCAUUUAUAACUUUUUUUUAUAGAACUUAAUGUUCUUAAUAAAAAAAGGUUAGAGUCAAAAUUUUGAAAGAAAGAAAGUGACGUGUUGAUAAAAAAAUGUUAAAUAUUUCUAAUUUAUACUUUAAAUAUAAAAAGUUUCAUCGUAUCUAUAUUUAUUUUUAAUUUUAUUCUUUAAGUCAAUAUUUGUUAAAUUAAAAUAAUUAUUUUAUCAAUUUUGUUUUUUAUGUGAUUUUUUUUAAAUUUAAUCUUUUUUAAUUUGAAUAUUUUUUAAGCUUAACCAUUCUUUUAUUUAUAAAACUUCAUAUAAAAUAAACAAAUACAAUUUACAAUAAAAUUACAAAAAUUAUUUUAAUUUUAUAAUUAUGAUAAUAAUAAUUUUAUUUUCUUUUCUUAAGCUGACUUGAUUUUGAAAAUCUACACUCAGAUACAUUCUUUUUUUGUUUUUGCUAAUAUUUAAUGUUUGACAGUUAAUUUAUUGUGGUGUUCAAUAAUCCUAAACAAAGCCCCACUUUUAGAGGACAGAAUUAAAUCUUUAGAAUUAGUGAAUCACAGGAUGAAAGUACUCAGUGAGUAAAAAAAUUCUUAAUCCCGUAAAAUUAGAAGCUUCGUAGUUUAGGAUAAACCCACUUUAAAGAACCAUAUUUCAUCCUUAUAUAAAGAAGAAAGAAACAAAUCUUUUUUAAGCUUUAAAGAGUUCGUCUGUUUUUCUAAACAAAAAAUGUUAUUUUGUUAAUGUGUAUUUUAUUGGUUAUUUUAUUUUACAUCAGUAUCAGUUACUUAAUACAUCUUGAGUGCUAAGCUAUUAAUUAUGUGACUUAUAAGAACACGACUCUCCUCUCCUUGUUACAGAUUAAAUUGAUUUUAUAUAUAUACUAUUUUAGUAAUAAAAAACUUAUAACUAUAUAUACUUCAAUUGCAUGAUUAUGAUUAUUCUCACUUAAACAUUUGAUUCAAAUAAAUCUAAUAACAGGGUUUCCAACAUGAGCGUACAAGAAACUCCUUGCACGGGGAUAAUGGAAGAUUGGAGUAACAUCUGCACCAACUGGCUGUGUUGCCCGCAGUCAUUAUUAAGUCUCUGGAAGCAACCAAUCUCUUUCCACACCAAAUCAGAUGCCUUUUCCUUUAGCAUAAACUGAAACAGCAUCUUUGGUAAUUUAUAUAUGCUAACCUCUUUGGGAUGUGAUCACCAGUUCACCAACAAUGGCAUGUGCCAGAAAAAGGACACAAAAAGUCGUAUGAACAAAUAUUCAAUUGAGGGCUCUCAAAUUCCUUGAAUAUGAAUUAAACUGCAGAAGAAUGCAUGGGAUUAACAAGACCGUCUAAGGUAGUUGAGUAUCAAUAAAUUAAAUCUCCCCGAUGUGUAUGUAUGAUUCUCAGUCACACUCAAACUAGAAAUCCGAAAUCCAAUGACGUUAUUUUAGAAAACAAUCAUCUCUCAUUUGGCUUAUUUCUAAAGUGGCCUUUAAAUUGAAUGUUAGUUCCUUCAGAAAAAUGUUUGACACCAAUAUUACCUGCCCACUUCCAUUGACUUUUUCAUUGAGUGAAAUAAAGACAUAAGAACAUUGUUUAUCCUUAAUACAAAAAAUGGCACAACCAAAAAUACUAGCAAAUAAAGGACUGGUAAACAGAAACACAGAAACAUGCCCUGAUCUUGCCACACUUAUCAAAGUAGGUGCAACAGAAAUUGGUACGAUUUCAUUAUAUACAACAUAAAAAUACUGACCACCUGAAGCAGAUCAAGAAAGUUCAAAUCCGGCAUUUGAACUUAUAGCAUAUAGAAGCUUUGCUCUCAAGGUGCCUGGCCGUUUGUAUGUCGGAAGCUGUAAUCAUUGAGAAAUAGAAAAUAAAAGCAUAAAUAAUUCAGAAGUAUGACAAAUUGACGAGAGAUUGCCUGAAAAUGCCAACAAUUUUGUCUUAAGUGACUCCACACUAAAUGGGCAUGGUUAGUUAGUGGACAUACAAAUUUCCGCACUUAUUGCUAAGAAACCUAUUUAUACGAUAUUUUGAAAUAUGAGAUUAUGAAAAACUCAAGAUUGUGAUGCGUACUCAUAAACAACAUAAAGAUCUUGACUUUCAAGCAUGCCAAACCCCAAAUAUUAUUCAUAAAACCUACAGACCCCUGUGCUGGAAGCUCCUCACUUCACAAAUGCACCGAGGGAGGGUAAUUAUAUGUAGCCUUCCCUCAUUGCACAAAGCAUAGAAGCGAUUUAAAAACUAACCAAGGCAAAACUUUACUGUUGUGUCAAGGAUUUCCCUCAAUAUUUCAUAGAUUUAACAUAAUAAUAGAAAAAAAAAAAUAAUAAUAAAAAAAAAAAAAACUUGGGAAUUUAGAAAUCUAUCAUGCUAAACUACUCCUCCUAAGCACAAAGUUAGGAAUGUGUUUCUCUGUUACUAUAUUAUAUUAGUAGUACCUUAAGUGUAUUGUAGCAGGUUGAAGCUGAUGGAAGCCGAUCUACAUCCUGUCCUCCAAUUGUUGCCCAAAGAGGAACAUCACAAACAACCUGUGUAAACAAAUAGACAUGAGUGCUAAUCAAUGAAAUCAAGACGUUUUAUCAUUAAAAAAAUGCAUCAUUUUUAUGGUUUCAUCUAAUAACUGGAUCUUGAUGUUGCAUAGGAGGGAAAAAGAAUAACAGAAAUCCUAGAAAAAAAAGGCAGGUGACAAGAUGAAGGCUUGAGUAUCUCAUAGCAAGCACUUAAAGCACUGAAUAUCUAAUGGAAAGCUUCUUCAUUUGUAGCAUCGAGAGCAACAAAUUAUUAUAGAUAACUGAUUAGAAGAGUUCAAGACGUUUUGCUUCCUAACUCAAUUGUUGUGCUUAAUAUACUCUGCGUGAGCAACAGAAAAACUUCAAAUAUAUCUUAAUCAUUAAAGAAUAGAACUUAAUAUACUCUGCGUGAGCAACAGAAAAACUUCAAAUAUAUCUUAAUCAUUAAAGAACAGAACAGAAUGGGAACAGAGAAGACUUAGUAUAAAUGGUUUUGAAUGUCCAUCAAACAUAAAAGAUUAAGAACAUACCUUGUGGAUGGUUAGUGGUGGCUGCAAGUAUUUGAACCCGAGUAAUGGAGCACGAGAACAACUGGUGACAAAUUUAAGAAGCAGACAACGCUCUUGAGGUUCAAAUCCUUUAAUCACCUGUACACAAUAGGCAGAAAACAGAAAAUGAAUAAAGAUAACUUAAAAUUAGCAUCUACACAAAUAAUAUGAAUUAACUCUUAAAUAUAAUUCAUGAAGGUGAGAAAAAUGCUCAAAAAUCACGUGUCGAGAAAGAGAGGACCUAUAGUUCAACCAAAAAAAUGAAACCUAAUAGCCCUUUCUAGGAGAGGAACAGAGGAGUGAAAGACCCCAGAUUUUUUAACUUCGUAUUUUAGGAUUUACUUCAUCUAUAACCUACCGAUCUUAAACAACAGAAAAUAUGAAGAAAUAAUUUUGACUCUUAUCAAAACAUCUAUAUAGUAACACAGCCAUUGUAUCAUUGUAUGUAUCUGACCUGUUUGCAUUCUAGAAGAAAUAUUUGAUUGUUUGUUUUGAAAUGAAAAAUGAAAUUAUCUUUUCCUGUAAGUUUUUAGUAGUUCUACCCUCUUCUCGAAGUAAAAACUAAUGCCCUAAAGUCCCAUAACUAUUUUUGACAGAGCCAUCCGUGGAAUGGAAUUACUACCAUGUCAAGUCCAAUUUACCCCAUUUUAUUGAAAAUAAUAUAAUAAAGGACGCAACUUUUUACAACAAAUCAUUAAUUCUUACAAGCAAAAUCAGCAGAAAAAGUCUGCAAAAUUUUCCACGUAUUACUUAUAUAUGAUCACCAUGCAUAAAAUUGGGGUUGAUACUAGUAAAUAAAGCAGAACAGAAGCAAUAUCAUCAGCUUAAAUAAUUUGCUUUGCAUGGAUAGUUUUAAUACAAAAACAACUGGACGAAUAUUCAUGAGAACUGUACAUAUUUGGGUUAGGAUCCAAGUACACAAGGUGUAAUACUUAGUCAAAUUACACUUUUAAUAACUUUCUACACAAUGCAAAUUUAAUCAAUCCAACCAUUCACUUUUAUUAUAUUAUCUCAAUGAUCACAUCUAUAAAAAAAUUUUAAAAAAAACGCACUUAUUGAGAUGACAAUACCUCCCAAAAUAUCUUGAUUGUCCGGCUUCCCUCAUUGUAACCACCAGUAUAUCGAGUGUUAUUUUUCAGAUCAUCAACAUCAAUAUCAUAAUUGCCACCUGAAAGCAACUGCAUUCCUAUAUAGCUAAGAAAUCUUGCUGGUAAAAUUAACUGACUAAAAUGUAUUUUUACUAUUAAAUGUUUUUCACAUUGGGUGUAGUUGGUGAAUAAAUGACUCUAGAUUUGGGGACUCUAAUAGAGUAUCUUUCUCUUAUUAUAUUCAUUUGAACAAAUUAAAUAGCUACUUCAAUACUGAUACAGCGGACAAUAACACUAAAUGCAGAAUUCUGUCACAAAAAUGUCCUGGUGCCCUUUGUACGAGAAAGAAGCAGAAAGAGUAAAUUUGCAAAAGAAAACCAUUUCAACACACUAAGAAAGAGAAGAUACCUGAUUAAAUUCACUAGCAUUGAAUAACUUCAACCAGGAUGGACAUAUAAGAUCAGUUAACCCUCUAUAAAACGCAUUUGAAAAGGGCAACAUCUGUAAUUUCAACAUGGUCAAAUAUAUAUCCACGAUACAACAGAGAAUACAGAAGUGAUAACCUGCAUUAUACUACAGUAAACAAUGGUAAAACCUGUUGGUUGAGUUUGUAGUCUGCCAUUGCAUGCAUGUACUGCAUCUUGUUCUCAUUCGUUACAGAAAUAUCUUUGCCACCAGACUUAAGUUCAACCACAUACCUUUUACCCAAUGAUUCUUCAGUAACUGUGAAAUCAAGACAGAGCUCCGUGAUAUCACCGUCAUAAUUCUGCAUGAAUGAGUAUGUGAACCUUCCAGUAGAAUGGCAAAAUGCCAGAACACAAAUACACAGUAUCCACCAAAGUCAAACAAACUCAAGCUAAAUUUUAAAAACAAUCAUACAAUAAAAUGCAGUAUGAAGAACAUUAAUGAAGUUUUAAGGACGUCAUGAAUAAUAGUGUUAUUGUAGAGUUAUAUAACAUCCAUUACUACACCUAACCAGAAAAAGACAUGGACUCUUUGAACAAUAUUCGUAUACAAUAUUAGUUAUGCUUUUCGUAGGAUUGCAAAUGGACCUGGCUUGUCUACAGAAGAAGAAAAACUGUAGGGGUCAAGCCAUCAGCAAACUAAGUCAAAAUUCAGAAAACACGGAUCCUAAUAUAAACCAAUGAAUCGUUUUGAAUGUCCUGAAUCCUGAUUAGUUUUGAAAAAAUGUUUAUAUGAAUGGUAUGCAAAACAUCAUGGAUUUUUCUCAUGGUUUACCUUGACAUACAUAAGAUUCCUGUAUAGCUCUGGAUCAAGUGUUGAUAAUUCAUCAAGAAAACUAUAUCGUCCCAAAAGCUUUUGUACAAAAACAUGGGAGAAAGAGUAAUCAAGUAAUAUUCCUUCAUAUAGAGCUUUCCCGACUACUCGUCCAAGGAAUUCAAUCAUCUGAAGACCAUUCUCCAAAUAUCUGGCAGAAGCAGUUGGAAUUAGAAGCCUGUCUGAAGUUGAGGUUUGGGAAAAUAGUCCAUAUCUAAGACAAAAAGGACUAGGUGUCAGUUUACAAAGUCAAUUCUUAAAGAUGCAAUAACCAAGAAAUAGAAUCGAGAAAGUUUGAAAUAUUUUGUCAAACUUACUCAGGAGCAAAUGCUGCUUUUGAUAAGUCAGUCAGAAACUCUUUAGAUAACCCACCAUAGUCCAGGCCAGCCUCAAGAAGACCACAUUCACUAACAAAUGAUACAUGGAUGGAUGACUUCAACCUUGACCCAAGGGAAUUUAAUUGCCGAAAUCCAUCUUCAACAAUAUGACCCCGACGUACUACUAUCUCAAUGGCUCGUGAACCAGGUUCAGAAAUUUCACCGGCCAUUUUUCGAGCUGCUUUAUCCAUCUUGAUGAAUUCACGAAACAUCUCAACUCUAUAGCAGUGUUUAAACAGAUGAUUGAGUUCCUUCUAUAAUCGAUAGUAGACCAUAUAAUGUCUUAAGCUCAAUAAAUGUCAUGAUUUUGAUGACAAGUUGCAAUUAAAUAUUCCAUCUGAACUCAAUUACUCUACUUUUCUUUAAAAAAAAUCCAACUCCAUCAUAUUGAUCAAUACUGUCAUUAACAAUAGUGUAUUCCUACUUAUUUUCUUUACUUAUGUCUUUCUAAUGUUUAUCAUAUAGUGUAUAAUUCAUACAUAAAUACAACCACUCAUGUAAUACAAUGUUCAUUACUUCAUAGUAUAAAUGGGUAUUAUUUCAAAAUGAUUUUCAUGAACAUAUCAAAUUUAAGAUAGUUUGAAAGAGAAAGUGAUAAUAUCAGUAAUCUUCUACAGUGUACUCUGUUUAAAGAUAUUUCAUUUGACCAGCCAACACUAGAAGGAACAAAAAAUAAUAUAUGAAUGUACCUUGAAAUCUUAAUUUAGUCUAUACAAGCUCAGUGACUCGACAACCAAAUUAAGAUCAUCUUUUUAUAUAACUUAUAAUUUCUGCUCAUGUGAUAAAAUUUAAUAAAUCGAUUCAUUUUGGCUACGACACAGAUCAUCUAGCUCUUCACUUAUAACUUAUCCUUCAAAGGAAUCAAUACAAUGCAACAACUAAAAUGUCAUAAGACAUAAAGAACAGAACAGCAUAAUUAGAUAAAAUGUUUAUCAGUCUUCUUAAUGGUCAUGGAAUUAGUUACCUCUCCUCAAAAGGGAAAACGUGAGGAACAAUAGUGACAGCAGAACCAACACUCAGUGAAGCUGAUGAAUCAUCAUGUAUCAGGUUGGCUGCUAAAACUUCAUGAGUUCUGGCAGCAACAGCAAUUGGUGGCCGGCUUUUUCUAGCAGGAGAAAGCCACAAAUCAGGAGGACAAAAUGGGUGCCUGCAAUCCCUUUCAUACAGUAAAUGUAAGCAUCUGAUAGCACAAUCCAUUAGGGACUUGUUAUGAUGACCACCAACAUGGGACAAGCCAUUAUAAACCAAUGUAUUGAGCAUAGAUGCAAUUUUUCUUUGCUGCUCUAUUUGGAAUGGAACCUAGAAACAUUAUAUUGCAAAAAGUUAGUUUGAAAAUGUGAAUUAAUUGAUAGAAGAAGAACAGGGAUAAGGAGCAACAGAUCAGUUACCUGUUUCUCAUAGAACUCUAUGUCAUCAAGAACUAAAAGCAGGUGAGAAUAGGUCGCACAGAAAAGAUGAAGCAUAGCAAACAUAUCCUUUGGAAUGCCUUGCGGCCCAUUCCUCAUAGGUUCUAUGUCCCAUAUAUCUGAUGAAUCGUCAUUUGGUCUGCUAGGCUCAGUGUGACUGCUAUUAAAGUCAGUGCAAUCUGUUGCUGCUCGUGACCUACCUGCAAAUUUAUGAAGUACAUUGACCCACUUAUUAGGCCCAUCUUUACUGACUUGUUUUUGCAUCUUCUCAAAGGCUUUAUGUUUGCUUUUUUCACUUAUGUAAUUAUCAAAAUUAUGUUUGUCUCCUGAAAAAAAGGAACCCUCCAGUACACUCCACAAUCUCACAAGAAAUCCAGGAGUGAAUGAUAGCGUGUUGAGAACUGAUAAUGAGCCACGAAUUGGACUCAAGACUGAAAAUAUCCUAAGUACAUUAGAAUAAAAAAGUGCAACAUCACACAAUUCUAGAUUUCCCAGACAUUCUAGGCUACUUGAUGGCACAGUCUCAGCCUUGUUUAUGGAAUCUCUAUUAAUUGAUGCCAAAAGAAUUUUGAGAUGCCACUGCUGACAAACAGGCCUAAAUUGAUCCAUGUAUGACAAUAUUAAGGAUUCAUUGGUCGCUUCACCCUCGUGCUGAACUGCAUCAACUGGGUGUAUUGAACUUUCAUCAGUUUGAAGGGCUUUCUUUUUCUUUCUGACCCAUCCAAUAUUAUCAAGACAAGACAGCAGAGCCUCUGAUAGAGUAAUAACAACAUGGACAUACAAUCCAUGGUCUAAACCUUCAUUGAAGGAUUCAUUCUCAUUCAUUGUUGCUAAGCAGAUAAUGUUAGCAAGGGCCCAACCAACUGGUGGAAUAGCCUUGAAAGAGACAGCAAUCUCUGAUUUCACGAACUCUGACAUCUCCAUCAAAACUUUCUCUUUCAAAAUCUGUCAUUGCCUGUCAGAGUUUGAUCAGUUCUGAUAUGUUUAAAUUCUAAAUUAUGAAGUCAUAUGAUCUUAUUGACUUGAGUUAAAAGCCAAUGGAAGGCAUAUUCAAGAGAAAAGUUCAAAAUCUAAUAAUUCAAUUAAGGCUCACUAUUUUUAAUUCCAUCUGUCACGACUAAAUAUAUAUCAUGGAGGUUUUUCUCUUCACCAUCAAUAACAUAAAAUAUGUAUUUACGCAAAAACAAGUUAUUAGAUAACUAAGGGUGAAAAAUUCAUCUUUCAAUGAUUAUUUUUUCACUUCCAUAGAAAAAUAUGCAGUGUUUUCAGUUAGAAAUAUUGUAUCUAUAUAUUACAGGAUAUAAAUAGUGAAAAAUGAUUAGAAGGAAUAUUUAAAAAUAAGAGCAGAACAAUUAUUUGCAUCAUCAUAAUUGCAAUACUAAAUGAUGAUACUAAUACAAAAAUUAGCUUUAAAGCAACGUUCAUCUUUGAUUUUGCAAGCAUACAACUACAACAUCAAACAAUAUGUAUGCAUAAAGAAGUCCAAUGUGCCCGCCCAAUCAUUAACUCAGUGUUUGAAAGUUGGCACUAAUUUAAUUAAAUUAUAAAUAUCAUUAAAUUUACAUGAUCUGUCACUGUCUUGAAAAAGAAGAAGAAAGUAAAUAUUCAAAGAGAAUAAAGAACAAUUAAAGAGGCCAAGUUGCCAUUGAAAUAAAACAGCAGACUAAUAAUUUAGCAGGUGAAAAUAUUCUACUUUAAUAAUGAUGCUUACCAAUAGAGUCUGGAAGCAUGGAAACAAAAUAGAUUUGUGCUUUAAAGCUGGUAGAAGAAUAAGGGGGAGAUGUUGCACUAGCCAAGGUAUGGUCAGCAGAUAAAGAAUAUACUGCUCAGCAGCAUGGUUGAAAUCCAGCGUAUGAGGCACUUCUGCAUCAUAGUUUAUCAGAUAAAACGGCCGUACAGCUAAAGUUAUUACACUUGCAGUAAUGAAAAAAUUUCCAUCUGCCGGGGUGAUGAUCUUUGACUGGGAAGAAGGAUUUUCUAAUGCACUAAUAUAUCUGCCAAUAGACACAUAACAACCACUUUUAUCACUGCCCAUGAACUGAAUUAAAUCUUUCACUGCUAAAUCUGCAUCAAAGUGGUUGUCAUUUGUUAUUCCUUUCCAUCCUUUCAUAUCAGUUAACAUUACAAGAAUACGCAUGGCGAGAGAUGUAACAACAGUAAUAUCUUGGGCCCCGGAAGGGUGUUUACUGAACUCUGAAAGAAUAACAAAACUAAGAAAAGUCAGCUUGCGUGCCUGGUAUCUCCAUAUUCUUCUUUCUUCAGUUGUACCAAUUGCCAAAAAGCAAAAGUUCAGCUUUGAAUCUAACCAAAGAAAAAAAUAGACCCCUUAGUAAUGUAUUAAUUAUAUUAAACAAAAGGAAAAAUGAGAAGCAAGGACGGUGGGGGGACAGCCCUUUUGAAGUCUCAAAACUAAGAAAAACAGCACAACAAAAAGUAUCUUUGCAUUCAUUAUUUCAUAUAAUCUCGUCAUGUAACUAAAAUAAACUGACUUGUAUAAUCGAAAAGUCAACUUCAAAUCCAAUAAAAUAACAUCCAAAUAAGAGGAUAUACCAGAAGAUUUCAGGCUUUCCAAUAUGACGGUAAAGCACAGUUUGAUAGAAUCUAUUCUCUUGCAGUUGACCUUCUGACGUUGAGUGGAGAUAAGGGUAAUAAAGAACAGAAAUGGUCUCAACAAAUUGUUUGAAAUCCAAUCUGCUGUCAUUACACCAGUAUAAUGAUUCACUGCUAUCUCCCACUCUUGCUGAAGUUGCAGAGAAAUUGCCUUUGUGACCUUGAAGCGCCUCCACACUCUCUGUUAACAUUAAAAAUAGCCCUUAUUUCUCCACUUUGAUCCAACAGAAGGUACAAAUGAAAACUAUAAUGUACUAACAAAUUGCAGUUCCAACUUUCUAAUUUGUGUUUACAGCAAAGUAGGCCUCAAGUGUACAAACUUUUGCCUUCAAUGACUCUAAGUUCAUCGACUUCAUGUUUGGAACAAAAGUAAUACCAAGCAUAGUCUAAAAAAGUAUCAAGAAAUAUCCUAAGAAAAUUUGGAGAUUAAAUAUUGCAUUUCACUUUGUAACCCAUUGCUUCCAUAAGCAGUCAAGAAAUGACACUGAAUGAACAACAGCUCAAAAACAAAAAAAUUGACAGUCACAACACUGACUCCAUUCUGAUGUCUAGGUAAAGUAAGAUGUACGCAAGUUCUGAGCAUAUAGGGUGUUUCCACAACCAGAACUCAUGGCCAAGAGAUCACAUCAAGCUACAAUUUUUCAACUGGACCGAGGUUCAUUAAGAAACAUGGAAACUUCUAAAUGUUAGUCAUGUUGUAAUAGAGUAUAUCACUCAGAUUAUAUCAUUCCUCCCCCUAUACUCGCCUAAUAGUUUUCUGUUGUGAAAGACAGUUGUCACAUACAGUUGCUAUACGAUUGAUUACUUUUACUCCUUUACCAGAUUUCUAACUUACAGUUGAGGCUCGCUCAUCUACAAAUAUGAGAAACUACAGCUAUGUCAAAAAGAGAAGAAUAAUAGGUUUACAGAUUCAUUUUUUUUUCUAAACCUUGGAGUUUUCUUUUCUCUCUCAAUUUUCUCUUCUCGUGUAAUCAUAACGUGUCAAACCCAUAUUAGUGUUUAGGCAUUGCAUUAACACUUUGAUUACUUCUAGUUUUUUUUUUUUUCUAUAAUUUCACAUCGCUAUAAAAUUCAGCACAAUAGAUGGAUUUUAGCAUUUUAUCAUGUCUACAAUGACCCAUACUAAUUUAAAACACGAAUUCUCUCCCUUUGCAUAAUAUUUUUAUUCAUACUAAUUUUACAUGACUUUUGUAUAAGUCAUAUGUAUCCUCUGCAUAAGACAAUCUUGUUUGAAUGAGAGAAAGACCAUUUCAUGCAGUAAAGUUCUCCCUCCGAAUAUUUAAUAUCACUAGUUACCUAGGUUUCGAAUUUGAAAUCACUGAUGAAGGUAAAUUGUCCUUGAGCUCAGUGAUAAAUUAAGUUUACGCAUGCUAUGAGCUUGUAGUGCCACAUAAUGUUUAGAAUUUACCGUAUUCCAGCGCCCAAGUGGCGUGUUAACUUUUAAAAUGAAAGAAAUUGAAAGAACCUGAAUGAAGAGAGCAGCAGCAGCAGCUCGUUUUGCAUAAUUGCGAAGUUCUCUUUCCUGAGUGACCUUCUGAAGAAGAGCGUCUCGCGUUAUCUCCUUCGCACUUGCUCCUCUCAGCGACACCUUAACAACAAGCUCCAUAAUCAGAAAAUGAUCAAAAUUUAAUUACUUGAGUAAUUGAUCGCGGAGGCAAAUCGAGCGCAGUAUUCAUGCCAAAUUCAGGAACGAGAUUGAUUGAUUGCAGGUAAGAAGAGCGAGUGAGUACCUACCUGCUGCUUACGAGGUGCGUCCAUGGAAAUCACUUGCGGAGUUAGCAACGAUUCUCAAUUCCGUUUCCCUUCUCCAUCGCCCUCUUUUUCGUUGCUUUAUUUUUAAGUUAAUUUCGCUGUCAAAAAAACAAUACCAAACACGGAGAAGUAUGUUUUAAGUUUUAUCGUCCCACAAGUUGACCGCUGAUUUUCUUUUAUUUUGUGAUUUGUGAAAACUGAUUACCGUCCCUUAUAUUUAUUGAAAAAUAAUUAAUUUUAUAUUUUAUAUAAAAAAAUGCAAGCAUAAUAAUUGAGUAUGUGUAUUAUUAUUAUUAUUAUUAUUAUUAUAUAUAAUUACUAUAAAGAUGAGGUAAAAAUAAGGUAGAUCUUAGAAGUGCUUUACCAUAACAAUAACAAUUACAUAAAAUGAUAUUAUUUAAAAUUAGAAAAUAUAAAAAAUGUAAAAUAAAACUACGUGAUAAAUGAGAAAGUUGGUUCUGUAGAAGGAGCGAUGCAGUUUGCUUAGUGGGGAGAGAAAUUGUAAAUAUAUGAUAGGGUGUGUGUUUACGCGCCAAGGAUGGAGAGUGGAAAUUGCAGUUGCAACAUAGGAUAUGGUAUUGCUACCGGUGUAGAUAGGUGGCACCCGAGCCUCCAUUGCAAACCCUUCAACUCUUCCCUUUUCUUCAAACCACCACCCUCCAAACCUCUUUCCCUUUCUUUCCGCCGCAACCUCCGCCAUGCCACACACUACCUACCCCCGGAUUCCCACUCCCUCAUCCACGCACUCCACGUCUCCUCCCGCGCCGCCGACACCCAACUCGUCAAGACCGUCCACGCCGCGCUCCUUAAACUCCACGAACACGACACUCGCCUCUUUAACGCCCUCAUAUCCGCUUACCUCAAACUCCGCCUCUUCCCCCACGCCCUCCGCCUCUUCCUCUCUCUGCCUUCCCCCAACGCCGUCUCGUAUACAGCCCUCAUCUCCGCCCUAUCGAAAUGGCCCAACCGCGAGCAUCACGCGCUCAAGCUCUUCCUCCGCAUGACGCACUCCCACCUCAUCCCCAACGCGUACACAUACGUCGCGGUUUUAACUGCCUGCACAAGAAUUCUUCAUUUCCAGUUGGGCCUCCAGGUCCACGCUGCCGCUCUCAAAACGGCCCAUUUCGAUUCCACCUUCGUCGCAAACGCCCUCGUUUCUCUUUACGCCAAGCACGCCCCUUUCCGGGAUGCGCUUAAACUCUUUAACCAAACACGGUACAGGGACAUUGCGUCGUGGAACACUAUUAUCUCUGCUGCGGUGCAGGAAUCCAUGUACGACACUGCGUUUCGGUUAUUCCGCGACAUGCAGACGACGGAUGCUUUUCGAGUUGAUGAUUUCACCUUGUCGAUACUUUUGUCUGCGUGUGCGUCGUUGGUGGAAGGUCAGCAAGUUCACGCGCACGCUGUUAAAUUGGGUUUGGAAACUAGUUUGAACGUUGGAAAUGGACUCACUGGGUUUUACACUAAGUUUGGAACGCUUGAGGAUGUGGAGUGGUUGUUUGAGGAGAUGAAAGUGAGGGAUGUUAUAACUUGGACUCAGAUGGUGACCAUGUAUAUGGAGUUUGGGUUGGUGGAUUUGGCUCUGAAUGUGUUUGAUGAAAUGUCCGAGAAGAAUUCUGUGUCUUACAACGCUGUUUUGUCUGGGUUUUGUCAAAACGAGGAAGGCUUGGAGGCGCUGAAGUUGUUUGUCAAAAUGGUGGAGGAGGGUUUGGAGUUGACGGAUUUUAGUUUGACUAGCGGAGUAAAUGCUUGUGGAUUGAUUGGUGAUCCCGAGGUCAGCAAGCAGGUUCAUGGGUUUGCGGUGAAGUUUGGGUUUGGAUCAAAUGCUUGUAUAGAAGCGGCAUUGCUUGACAUGUACACGAGGUGUGGGAGGAUGGUGGAUGCGGAGAAGAUGUUUCUGAGAUGGAAGGUGGAGCAGUUUAGCUCUGUGUGCUGGACAGCCAUGAUAUGUGGCUAUGCUCGAAACGGGCAGCCAGAGGAGGCCAUUUCUCUUUUCCACGUUGGUCGAUUCAAUGAAAAGGUGAUUAUGGAUGAAGUUGUGGUGACUUCGAUGCUUGGUCUUUGUGGAACAGUUGGCCAUCAUGAUAUGGGUAAGCAAAUUCACGGUCAUGUUGUUAAAUGUGGUUUGGGAUCUAAUUUGGAAGUGGGAAAUGCACUUCUUAGCAUGUAUUUUAAGUGUGGGGACAUGGACGAUGCGAUGAAGGUGUUUCGUGAUAUGGCUUGUACAGAUGUAGUUACAUGGAACACUUUGAUCUCGGGAAAUCUUAUACACAGACAGGGGGGCAGAGCAUUGGAAGUAUGGGUGGAAAUGCAGGAGAAGAACAUAAAGCCUGACCAAGUUACAUUUGUAUUGAUAAUUUCAGCUUACAGGCAAACAAACUCAAAUUUCGUUGAUGAUUGUCGUAGUUUGUUUAACUCUAUGCGAACUGUUUAUCAAAUUGAGCCCACAUCCAUGCAUUAUGCUUCCUUCAUCAGUGUCUUGGGUCACUGGGGUUUUCUGCAAGAAGCACUAGAAACUAUCAAUAAAAUGCCUUUCCAGCCUUCAGCUCUUGUUUGGCGCGCAUUGCUUGAUGCUUCCAAACAGCAUCAGAAUGAUAUGAUUGGAAAAUGGGCUGCUCAGAAUAUUCUUUCCUUCAAACCUAAAGAUCCUUCAACGUUUAUACUUGUUUCAAAUCUGUAUUCUGCAUCUGGGAGAUGGGAUCGCUCUGACAUGGUCAGAGACGAGAUGAGGCAAAAAGGGAUUCGCAAACACCCAGCUCAAAGUUGGAUCAUUUCUGAGAAGAAAAUACAUACAUUUUAUCCGAGAGAUAGAUCACAUCCUCAGGAGAAAGACAUAUACAGUGGUUUGGAUAUUUUGAUCUUGGAGUGCCUAAAAGUUGGAUAUGAACCUGACACGAGCUUUGUUCUCCAUGAAGUAGAGGAGCAUCACAAGAAAUUCUUUCUAUUCCAUCACAGUGCUAAACUGGCAGCAACUUAUGGGAUACUGAUGAGCAAGCCUGGAAUGCCCGUUCGGAUUGUAAAGAACAUCCUUCUUUGUGGGGACUGCCAUACAUUCUUAAAAUAUGCAUCAAUUGUCACGAAAAGAGAUAUAUUUCUGAGAGAUUCUUCUGGAUUUCAUUGUUUCUCCGGUGGCCAGUGCUCGUGUAAAGACUGCUGGUGAAAGCUGGCUCUUGUCGCCGGUUAUCGUGAUUUAUAUCAGUGGUCUUUGCUGAAUAAUUUUGGUAGUUAUAGGAUAGCAAUGAUAGAUAAGAUUUGUAUGAGAAAUUUUUCUAUAGAUGUUACCAUGAAUUUGGUGGAACCAAUCAUCUAAGGAGAAAAGGGGUAAAACAGCAAGAGGAGGCGGAAGAAAGAUUCUUCUUUACAAAUGUUUCUGUAAAAAAAUUAGGGGUUAGAGCUCCACGGUCUCAUCUGAACAAAGAUGUAUUUUGUCAGUUUGUUGAUAACCUUUGAUGUCUAUGAUCUAACACAGUUAGGUAUUUACCAACACAGCUUGGUAUUUUGUCGGAGUUUGGAGUAUUGAAAUAUUUACUCCAACUACAUUAGUUUUUCUUGUUCGGAUGGACUUUUUAAUUCGUGUAUGAAAUAGCCUACCUUUUUUUCCUUCAAAGUUACACUAGACGCCAUGUAAUAGUUGAUUUGUAAUUAUUUUAAAUGUUUUGUGAGAUAAAUAUCUUUCAUUUCAACCAUCAACCUUUUCAUUCACCACCUUUCUUCUGUCCAAUUUAAUAGAUAAAAGCAAUUUUUAUAUAACUUGAAAUAAUAAUUUCACUAUCUCUAAAUAUAUGUUAAUUUUUUUACUUGAGCAUCGAAGAACCAAUCAAACUUAUUUCAACAAAAUUAGUUAUGUUAUAUUUAUUUUCAUCAUUAAUCCCAACAAAUAUCAAUGUUAGAUGGCCGCCCAGUUCUUUUCCUGUGUUGAGUUCACCAAGGUGGUUAUAUAAAAAGGGCAAAAGGGCUACUAGGGCAGAUUCUUCCUGCACCUCUAUAUUUUCUUUCCUCUAUUUCCAUAAUUAUUUUUUCAUUUUACUUUUUCUGGACUGUACAUUUUUUAACUUUUGGAUUAUUUAAUCCAAAAGAAAAAAUAACUAAUCUGAAAACCCGUUUUUUCUCUUAAAAAACCUUCCGGAUUAAACCAUAUAGAAGCAUCCGGAAGCCAAAUAACUUUCAGAAAUCUAGAAUCCAUUUUCUUAAAAAAGAAUAAUUUCGUAGUCUGAAAAAUCAUUUUUGGCUUUUGGAUAGUAUAAUUCAGAAGUCGUUUUUUAUUUUUUAAAAAACAAAAAUACUUUCGAUAUGUACAAAUGUAAAAAAAAAAAAUUAUAAUGAUAUUUAGACAACAUUUUUUUGACAACAUUUAAACAUUGAUUACGUGUCAAUCUGUGAUUGGUCAAAAAUUACUUCACAAUCAACAAUAAUAAUCAUAAACAUUAUUGUGGUGUAAUUUUUAACCAAUCACAUAUUGACACGUAAUCAAUGUUUAAAUGUUGUAAAAAAAAUGUUAUCUAAAUAUCAUUAUCCAAAAAAAAUAUGGAGAUAUAUAAAGAAAGUUACAAAGGUAGGGGAAGAAAGUGCCAUAAAAAGGAAGUUAAUGAGGAUGCUAAUCGAGCCGAUACUGAUGCAUAAGGUGAGAAAAAUCAUCCUGAUUUGGUUUUGGGUUUGAUGUAAGUGAAAGAGAGUUGGGCUAAUCUUUCUUGUACCUCCAUUUUUUCUUAUUGCACCGCAUAGGUGUGAUGGAAUCACCUUUUUAUCCCAUUUCUUUCUCUCACUUCCUUUUCCUUCUUUCAUGUACCCAGCUACACACCUUCCUUCUCUUUCUUCCCACUGAUGGCGCAACCCCCUUUCACCUCCAACACCUAUUUAGAGAUUAAUGCAAAAGUCAAUAAAAAGCUCAAAGAAAUGGAUUUAAGAAUAACUUAGAAGAGUCAGCAAACUACUUUUAUAUUUAACUAAUUUUAACAAAUCAAGUGACAUGUCCUAUUAGAAAGUUAUCACAUUUUGUUAUGCAGUAUGGUAGAAGUCUCUUCUAGUAAGAACAGAAUAAUAAUAUGAAUUGUAAUUUUGUUAUAUAUUCCUUUGAGUUGAGAGUGAAUGGGAAGGAGGAAAUUAGUCUUUCUUUUUGUCCCUUUCUUUUAAAGAGAACCAUUGACCUUAGAUCAAGGAAAUUUUUGUCUAUCAUUUGAUGUUUUCAUUGAGAAAUUUUUCACGCCAUAACAAAGCAUAAUACACGAUUCAAGACUACAUCAGACCGAAUAGAAGAGUCUAUCCAACAUUUAACACAUUAGCAAAUGGUGUUAAGUGUUAAUCAUGAGAGUCUCAAUAUAAAGGUGGAUACAAUAUUGCAACAACUUGCUAUGCUAUGGGCCAAAUCAGAAUUGUCAUCAAAAGCAAAGGACAUAGUGUUUUUUAAAACCCAUGUAAAGUUAGAAAUUCCUUACUUUAAUGUGGAAGAUGCCAUGGGGGUGGAUAUUCAAGAUUUCUUAGUUUUUUAAUUACCAUGUUACUUCUGAGGCUCAUCAUAUCAAGGUAGCAUCACUCUACAUGGAGAACAUGCUCUCAACUCACAUCAAUGGAUGCAUUGUUCGUAAUGGUAUGGUCUGGUCUGGUGUAACUUUUGGAAAUUCGAUUUUCUCCAUCAUACUAUGAUGAUCCCCAGAGUGUCCUCUUUAAGUUGACUCAGAAGCAUACCAUUUCAUAAUAUCUUAAUGAAUUGAAAGAUUAGGAAAUAGAAUCGUCGGUCUUCCUACAACCUUUUUAUUGAGUUUUUUUUUUUUAGAUUGAGUCUAGAAAUCUGACAUUAGAUGCAAACGUUGCAACCUCAUUCAAUGAUACAAGCAACAACCCUAGUCAGAUUAUAGAAAGACAAUAACGUCAAUUUGAGAACAAAUUAUGAUAAGCUCACUUAAAAAGAUAUGGUAGUUCAUUGAGAAAAAGGUCUCAACUAUAAUUGCAAUGAAAAAUUUAGUCUAAGCAACAAGUGUAAAGGAAGCUUAUUUCUAUUAGUAGUUGAGACAGGGGAUGACGUGAGCAGAGUAAUUAUUGAUCAAUCAUGUUUGAUUCAAAAAUAAUUAAAUGAUAAUUCUUCAAAGGCCCAUGUCAGUUUUAAUGCCCUUGUUGGACUGUUAACUCCCAAAGAUUUAUGUUUAAUGUGUCAUAUAUCUAAAAGUUAUGACUGUUUUGGUGUAUGGUGAUAGUACACACAAUUUUAUUUAGCACCGUGUAGUUAAGCAUAUUCAAUUGUCUAUCUAACCCACAAAAACCGUGAGGGUGAAGGUAAGAGAUGAAAUGGAAAUUGAUUGUCGUUAGGUUUGUCAAAGCGUGAAAGUGGGUAUUCAAAAUCACGAGUUUGAAGUGGAUCUUCAUGUCUUACUUAUUAGUGAGACUCAUAUUAUUUUGGGUAUCUAUUGGUUGAAAGAAUUGGACCCAAUAAUCAAAUUAUGCUAAAUUGACCUUGAAGUUUAUACAGAAUGAAAAUAUGGUUGAAUUUAAGACCAACGCACCGAUCAGGCCACAAGAUAUUUUAUCACACCAACUAAAUAUACUUAUGCAUACCAAGAAACAUAUUUUCCAAGUAAUGUAUUUCCCAAAAGAUACAACGUGGAAGAAGUGGAAAGAUUUAUGCCAAGAUUAUCAUCUUAAGGACAAGGUGAAUUUUCCAUAGGUGGAUAUUGAUGAAAAGAUAGAGUCCAUUAAUAUGCAAUCUAGCACAUAUAUUCAUAGGCUCAAGCAUAAGUCAACAAGAGCCUAAAGAAAGGGAUUUAAAGGCCUAGAAUAGUCAACAAACUACCUUUAUAUUUAGUUUAUUUUACCAUUUAAAUAAAUCAAGUGACAUGUCCCAGUCUUAGAGAGUUAUCAAAGUUUGAUAUGCAUUAUGCUAUAAGUAUGUUUGAGUAAGAACAUCUUGAUGCAUGGAGUGGAUAUUCAAGAUUUUAUAGUUUUUCAAUUCAUAUUACUUUGAGGCUGAUCGUAUCAAGGUAACAUCAUUCUACAUGGAGGGACUUGCUCUUAGUUGACAUCAAUGGAUGCAUUGCAAUGGCAUGAUUAUUACAUGGCAUGGUCUGCUGCAAGCAUUGGAAACUCAUUUUUCUCCAUCAUACUAUGAUGAUUCCCAAGGUGUCCUCUUUAAAUUGACUCAAAAAGGUACUAUUUCAAAAUAUCUUAAUGAGUUUGAAAAAUUAACAAAUGAGUCUUCCUACAACUUUCUUGUUGAGUUGUUUUAUUUUUGUAUUGAGUCCGAAAAUUCAAUGUGAGGUGCAGACAUUGCAACCUCAUUCACUGAUAUAAGCAACAACCCUAUCCAGUUUAUAGGAAGACAAGUUGAUAGGACAAAAAUGUCAAUCUAAAAACAAAUUGCAAUAAGCUCACUCAAAAAUAGAUGCUAAGUCGUCAAGAAAAAAGUCAAUGCACCAACCAUUCUACAAGAUGUUUCAGCACACCAACUAAAUAUACUUAUGCAUACCAAGACAACUGCACCUUUCCAAGUAAUUUAUUUUCCAAAAAAUACAACUUGAGAGAAGUGGAUCGAUUGAGAUUUAUGCCAACAUUAUCACCUUGAGGACAAGGUGAAUUUUCCACAAGUAAGUAUUGAUAGAAAGGUAAAAUCCAUUACUCUUUAGUCCAAGACAUAUAUUUAUAGGCUCACAUAGAAGUCAACAAGAGUUCAAAGAAAAAGAUUGAAAGACUUAGAAGAAUCAAAAAAUUACCUUUAUAUUUAGUUUAUUUUACCAUUUAGAUAAAUCAAGUGAUCUCUCAAUCUUAAAGAGUUGUCAAAAAUUGUUAUGCAUUAUGUAAGUACUUUGAGUAAGAAUAGAAUAAUAAUUAUGAAUUGUAAUUUUUUUAUAUAUAUUUUUUUGGAUUGAAAGUGAAUGGAAAGGAAUAAAUUAGUUUCUUUCUUUGUCUCUUUUUUUCUAACGAAGAUCUUUGAUUUCUAAGAAAACUUUUAUGUAUCGAUUUUUCAAGUGUUUUUACUUUUGCAUGUAUGAUCUCUGCAUAAUAUCAUUAUAUGUUAAGACAUGUCGUUUGCUACGUCAACAAAUUUUUAUGGUUGAUUAUUGUUGUUUGAUUCACAGUAACUAUCUCUAUUCAUUAAUAAAUUUUGAAGAUAAAAUUUAAAAUUUGAAACAAUGAGAAAAUCUAAUUUCAUAAAAAUCAAAAAACUAAAAAACAUAUUUAAUAUAAUUUAAAAUCUUAUUUAAUUUAAUAAAAAUUGAGAAACUAAAAAUAUAUUUAAUUUUAAAACUUAAACGAAAUAUAUGUUUUCUAAACUAUCGAUUACAAACUAAUAAUGAACAUGAUAAAAUCAUUACAAAAUUUAAAUUCUAAUUUAAUAAAAUAAAAGAGAAUUGAUAUAUAUAUAUAUAUAUAUAUAUAUAUAUAUAUAUAUAUAUAUAUAUAUAUAUAUAUAUAUUAAUGAAUAUGUUUCUACCCGUUAAUCUUAUAGUAUUAGUUAUAUUAAUUUAAGUUCAUAAAUAUUUAAAUGUAUUCAAAACAUAUUAAUUGUAUUUAUAUUUAUAUAUAAACGACAUUUUUCUUUUUUUUUAUAUUCACAUUUAUAUUUUAAUUUUAUCCUUCAAAUAAUUUCUUUUAACUAAAAUAAUUAUUUUAUCAAUAUUAUUUUUUAUUUGUAAAUUUUUUUUUUCAAUUUAUAUUUUUAUAUUCCACGUGUAAGAAUAUAUAUAGAAUACUGUCAAAAUUACUUAAUAUUAAUUAGAAAAUAUAUAUUUUUUAUUUUAUUUUUAAAGAAUUAAAUAUAUUUUUAACCUUUUAAUUUUUUCGAAAUUUGAUUUAUCUCAAACUUUAAAUUAUUUUUAUCUAAAACUUUAUUAAUAAAGGGACAUAAUUCUUGUAAUCAAAUCAUAUUAAAAAUUUGUUGAUGUAAUAAAUAGUAUUAUUGCGUGUAAUCAUGUAUUGAUAUAUAAAUAUAUACACGGUUUGGUAUAUUAACAAAAAUUUUAACACUGUUUGAUCAAAGAUUAAAUGUAUACAUUAAAAAAGCUUGAGGAGAAUGAAGAAAAUGAUUGAAAGUUUAACAGAAAUCCUAUUUUCCAUAAAAGUUAAACAACAAUUGAACAUCAUCACUUCGUUAAAAAGCAUCCUGCAAUCAACUAUAAUGAUUUUUUCAAAAGUAAAUACAAAUUUUAUCAUGCAACUAAAUCGAGUUUAUUAAUUAAAUCUGAAACUCACGACCCUGUUAUAUAACUCAGUAAGAGAAACAACUAACAAAACCUAUUUCUCAGUAAAAAAAAUAAUGAUAUUUUGACAACAUUUUUUGAUAAUUUUUUUAACAAUAAAAUAUGUGUUAUCAUUUUAUUAAUUAAUUUAAAUUUAUAUUUAAAAGAAUAUUUAAAACAGAUCAAUCACAAUCUAUUACGUUUAUAAAAAAAAAUUGUUAAAAAAAGUAUCGUUAAAAUUAGAUUGGAUUUCCAAACCAUAACGUACUAAAUUAAAAGUUGUCACGAAUGGUUACGUUUAACCUGUGAAUUCAACACGAGAAAUGGGCCUACUUAUUUCCAUGUUUCACCCUCUCCCACCUCUCCUUAUCCUCUUCACAAUAAACACUGUCGCAUGUUCAGUGUUCACCGUAUCACACCCAUUAAACAACAAUCUUAGCCAAACAAUGUUCCUUAACAUUAACAAUAACUAUGUCACAAAUAUUAGCUUAUCUGCUUCUUGUUUCCUGUUGCUGUUCGAUUUCGGGAACAAAAAAAAAAUUGUUGGUUUCAGAUCUACUUCUAUUUUGUAUAUUUUAUAAUAUAAUACAAGGGUAAACUUUUUGUUGUUUCAAGAGAUUUCGGUGCCGUUGCGUCAAGCAGUUUAAUAUAAAUUAACGGAGUGAAUAACACGCUGCUUUAGGCCUUUAUCGAGGCUUCAUUCGCCGUCACUCUCCCAAUUUCGUUUUAAAUACAAAAAAUGCAAAAUAUAGAAAAAUAAAUAACAAUUUAGCUCAAAUAUAUUUUUAUCUUAAAAAAAUAAAUUAUGCCUUUUUUCAGAAAGCUUGUGGUGCUUUUUGGUUUCUAGAAAGUUAUAGGCUACAUUUCUUUAUGUAGAUUGUUAUAAUUGGACACAUUUUACCACCUAUAAAAAAAAUCACAUCUCAAAAGGGAAACUUGAAAUCAUAUUUAAAAUAAUUUCAAAAAAAUCAACAGUCUAACGAGUACAACAAAAAAUCUUCCCCGUGUUAUAUAUUUGAACGAAAGCAUACAAAAAUAACGAGAAAUUAUAAAUUAAAAAACUCGAACGAUUACAAUGAUUUAGUUUAGUUGUAUAAUAAAUAUAGAGUAUUAUCUAUUAAAAUAAAUUCAAGGAAGUGUAUAAAAAGAACUAUAUAUGUAGAAAAUUUAUUAAAAGGUUUGGGUUGGGAUUGGUACUUUUAGUAGAAGUUCUUUAUCAGCACUCAAAUUACAUGAUUUGGAAAACGACGUCGCCUCAGUGCGGUCAAUUAGAAUAGUGUUUGUGAAUUAAUGUUUUAUUAUGGUAUGAUGUAAAAAAUAAACGUAUGUUUACAUUUAGCAAUGUAUUAAAAACUUUUUCUUAAAAGGUGAUUACUUCAUGUUUGUGUUAUCUUUUGAACUUUUAAGAGAGACUGUAAUUUGCACAAUACCAAAUUAAGAAAAAUUCCAAACCAUAUUUAUCCAUAAGCUACUGUGUGUGAUUGUGCUUCGGUUGGACUGUUUAGAAAAAAAAAAAAACAUUACUUUUUUGGGACAUUAUUUUUCCCUUUUUAUCACAAGAUCAGCUUUAUGAUGAAUAUUUCAACCAUGGAUUAAUCUGCUUAAAAAGCAGAAUGUUGCGUAAAACUGUGAAAUUAUGGAAAAACUGUAAACAUUAAAAUUAUAAAAAAAAAUGGAAAAUUAGAAAAUUGGAAAAAGUGUGUCAUCAUGGCUUGACCUCUAAUUCCCGUCGAUGAAAUAAAUGGGAGGUGGCAUGCAUAAGAAUUAUGACUUACGAACUUCUACUAAAUUACCGUUUUGCACCUAUUCAAUUUGUUUUUAUUUUUUAGCCAAUGCUUUUCUACUCUCAGUUAUUACUAUCAUAUUUGACUUUUAUUCUUGCCAUUAAUAAAAGUAAUAUAAUUUAAAUGCGAAAUUUUUUUCAAUAGAAACAAAUCCUCGAUUUUCCUAAAGAUAUGACAUAUUUUUAACAAGCCAACACGUGCAUGAGUCGUGAAAUUCAAAUUAAAUUAUUAAUAAACUAACAAGAAUAGUCUUAAUAAAUGUGUAAAAGCGUGAUCACUAUGGUUGAUAUAAUUAAACUAAAGAAGGUUGUUUUUAUGGAGUUUAUUAAACUAAAAACAACGUGUUAAUACUUUAUUUUUUUCCAUUGGCAUAUUAUUUUUGACAUAUAUUGAUUAAUUAUAAACAACUUUUAUAACUAGUCAAAUAUACUUUAAACACGCCAGUAUUACUUGUUUUUUUAGUGUGCUACAUUGUUUACUAAUCAUAGAUUAUGUGUUGUAUAAUAUUUGAUUAAAUUAUAAUUUUGAUAUUGUCACUUUUAUACAUAAUUUUAGCUUGUGUUUUUUUUUUUUUUUUAGAUUCUUUAAGUAAAGCGAGUUUACACUUUAAUUUUUAAUAUUUUUAUUAAGAUAUAAAACUUAAAAUGAGGAAAAAAAAGAUUAAAUAAUAAUAUAUUGUAUAUAUGAGGUCCGUAGGUUAUAGUUUAUUCUCAUGUAUUUCUGAUCCAAAACGACACGUUUGAAGCGAAUCGAAGUAACAGAAGGACACGUGUCUGGGUUGGGAGAAAGGGAAGAAAAUAAAGAGAUUAUUAAUAAGUGGGUCGGUGAGUUGUUGGUAAGAAGCAUAAGAGAGGGGUAAAAGAGGAAAUGCAAAAAGUUGCAUGCAAAAACUCAGAUUUUGAGGACAAAGUGUGAGGACGCUUGGCCUGAUAUCGCACCCAUUUAUUACCAACACUUCAACGUCAGAUUCCUCACCCUCUGCCACCAAAACCAAAACUCUCUUCUAUUCUCUCAUCUUUCUCUUUCUUUCUCUCUUUCUUUCUCUCUUCACAAACAAAACACAACUAUGUCUUCUGCAUAGACAACAGAAACCACCUGCUUUCUAAAUUCUGUAGCAAAAGGUUAAGAAACAGCUUCAAUGGGUACUUCUGUUACAUGGGGCUCAGGGCCAUCUUCAUCCACCAAGCUCUUUCUGUUCAUGCUUCCUCUCGUGCUUGUUGCAGGGCUGGUUUCUGUUUUGGGUCCUAGCCCCUCUAGUUGGUUUUCCACUGCCAAGCCACCGCUGUUAUUAUUCAGCUCUGUUACUUCCUCAGCUGCUAGUAGUGGUGCUGUCACCACCCCUUCUGAGGUGAAGCAGAGAGAAGAGUUGCUGGUGGUGGCCGUGGAUAAUCGUGCUGGAGAGAAUCUUAUCUCCGAUGACACUCACUUCAAUCUCUCCUCUACUCCUCCAUUUUCUGUUCAGGCCAUACAACAACAUGUGAGACCUUUUUCUUCUUUUCUUAUCAUAAUUCCACCCUUAAGUUUGCCAUUUUUCUUUAUUUAUAUGAAUCACAUUACAACAGGGGUAGGAUGGGACAUAAUUUCGAUACGACUCUACUUUAUUCCUACAGAAUUUCACUGUGAUAAUCCAAAUAAUAAGGGCAGCCACCCUGCUACGAGAAUCAGACCAACAAUACCUAUUUUUAAGAAUAAAACUAUGCAAUAAAUGUUUGAAUAAAAAGAUUAUACCAAUUUAUUACUGUAAAAAGAUUAUACCAAUUUCUACCUCAAGUAAUUAGUAAUUUAUCUGAGUAUUUAAGUUUUCUUUCCCGAUUUUGUUUGGUAGAAAAAUAGGUAGCAGUGUGGGUUAUGGAAGCUAUUCUAAGAUGAAAAUUUCGUUAAAAAUGUCAGAUGAUUGUUAUAUUUAAGAAGGAAAGAAUGUACAGACAGAAAGAAAAGAAUGCAACUAAAGCCAUUGAGAAUGUUACAGACCAGAUACCUUAACUUUUUCUUUAAUUUUGCAGAAAAGAUAUAGGAGUUUGAAUAAAUCUGUGGUGGGAUAAUACCCAAACGAAGGGAGAGAGAUUUUAUCUUAUUAUUAUUCAAUUUAUUCUUUUUAAAGUAAAGUUUACAGAAUAAGGAGAUGCACUACCUCAGUCUAAGUUAUAGCAGAGGAAAGGAAAACAUCGAUCUCACAUAGCACUUGGUCGAUGUUUAAAAUUUUCCAGAUUGAAUUAGUAGAAUGAAGAUAAAUUUGGAACAUGAGGAAUUAAAAAUUGAUAUUUAACUGAACCUUACUCUUUCGUCUACGCACUGCUACUAUAUUAUAAUAAUAUAUUUGCUUUAUUUUCAUCUUUUCGAGACAACUUCUCUCUGUGAAAUGAAGGAAUUGAAAUAAUGCAAAUUGAUAUAUCAACUUGGAUGUUACUCUGUACUUGUUGCCUUAGUGUUGCGAUCAAGGGAGUUAUUUUGCGUAUUUGAGGAUUUUAAGACCUAUAAUAUAUGAAUAUCAUGUCCCCUUGUUGAAUAUUGUAACUUCGUAAAUACGCAAAGAAAUGCGAAUCCCCAUCCCUUGGGUUUUCACUUUUCAGAUACUUUAGUUGGUUUUCAGUGUGCAAUUUGUUUCUACAAGUUACCAAAAUAAAUUGGAGUGACAAAUAUUUGGCUGCGUUUAUCUUCUAAAUUAUUUUUUGGAUAAUUUCCAUUUUAGAUGGGAAUUAGUUCAAUUUCGUAUACAUGGAUUCAUCUCCUACACUGCACAUGUAGCAAUGAUUUCGAAAAGGUUUGAAUUUAAGAAACUAGUUGUCAAGUUCCGUUUUAAGACAGGAAAUAGACAAAGCGACUUGUUAGGCAGAGCAUUGUAGCAUGGUUGAAAUUAAAAGGCUAUCCAUUUAUGAGUUUUAAAUAAAGGUGACGACGACCCAUCAUUUUAUUUACCAGAGCAGGGAUGAACAAAACGUUCCCCAAAAUUUGGGUAACGUGAGUUCGGUGAACGAGUCUUAUGUUCCAGCAGAAAGGCCAAAACUGCAAAGAAAAUUCAGCAUCUUAGACAGAAAUGAAGCAGGUCUAAUAAAAGCUCGAGCCGCAAUUAGAGAAGCAAGAAACGGAAAUCAAACGCAAGAUACAGACUACGUUCCUAUUGGACCAAUGUACAUGAAUGCCAAUGCAUUUCACAGGUAAAAGAAGCAAAUAACAUUAGACUUUGUUGGCUUAACAGAAGUAAGUAAGUAAUUCGAUUUGUGCAUGUUACAGGAGUUACUUGGAAAUGGAGAAACAGCUGAAAGUGUAUGUGUACGAAGAAGGGGAGGCUCCAGUUUUUCAUAACGGACCUUGCAAGAGCAUAUACUCGAUGGAGGGGAAUUUCAUCCAUGCUAUUGAGAUGAACGAGAAAUUCCGAACAAGAGAUCCUGAGAAAGCACAUGUUUUUUUCUUACCUUUUAGUGUAGCAAUGUUGGUCCAAUUCGUGUAUGUACGAGACUCUCAUGACUUUGGCCCCAUAAAAAAAACUGUCACGGAUUACAUCGACGUCAUCGCAGGAAGAUACCCCUAUUGGAACAGAAGCCUUGGAGCUGAUCAUUUCUAUCUUGCUUGCCACGAUUGGGUAAUUAAACCAUCACUGCAUUGUGCUUUUUUUUUUUUUAUAUAUAUAUAUAUAUUUUAAUGAUUAUCAGAAAAUAAUCUUGAUUGUUGUAAAUUGUUUUUCAGGGGCCAGAGACUUCGCGCUCGGUUCCUAAUUUGAAAGAUAAUUCGAUACGCGUGUUGUGCAAUGCUAACACUUCCGAGGGAUUCAAGCCUUCGAAGGAUGUCUCUUUGCCGGAAAUUAACCUCCAAAGUGGUUCCAUAAACGGUUUGAUCGGUGGGCCGUCUGCUUCGAAGCGUCCACUCUUGGCCUUCUUUGCCGGUGGACUUCACGGCCCAAUUAGGCCGGUUCUUCUUGAACAGUGGGAAAACAAGGACGAGGACAUAAAGGUUCAGAAGUACCUUCCGAAGGGUGUGUCGUACUAUGAGAUGCUGAGGAAGAGCAGGUUCUGUCUUUGUCCCAGUGGGUACGAGGUGGCGAGUCCGAGAGUGGUGGAGGCAAUCUACACAGGGUGUGUCCCAGUUCUGAUUUCGGAUCACUAUGUCCCUCCGUUCAGUGAUGUUUUGAAUUGGAAGUCGUUUUCCGUUGAAGUUACGGUUGAGGAGAUUCCGAAAUUGAAGGAAAUUUUGUUGAGUAUUUCUCCAAGACAGUAUAUAAGAAUGCAGAGGAGAGUGGUACAAGUUAGGAGGCAUUUUGAGGUGCACUCUCCUCCCAAGAGAUUCGAUGUCUUUCACAUGAUUCUUCAUUCUGUAUGGCUUAGAAGAUUGAACUUCAGAGUCCACGAUCAUCAAUCACAACUGUCUUAGUUUCCCAUUGUUAUCCCAUGUAAUAAGCUGUCAUUUUUUUCCAUUAUCAGAAGCAAAAAUAAUAUUUCAUUUUUCCCAUAUUCCAUGUAAAAAAAAACAGUUUUCAGAGUAAGAAAAUAUGUGAACAGAGUCAACAUCUGUUGUUUAAGAGACUAGAUACUUUUAUCCAUCUUACCCCAUUAGCCCUUAUUCUGGAGUCAAGGAUAUCGAUUUAUGAUAUAUCUGUACAUGGUUCGAGUGCAAUUCGGUAUGUGAAACAGAGAAAUUUUGGGUCAGACCAAUGAUUGGAAUGCACGAUCUGAAAUCUGGAAAUGAAAAUCAACAAACUCAACGACGAAGGAAACGAUGGGCAACGACACAGAAAGGAAGAAAAUAAUAUGGAACAACACACAAAUUACGCUUUCAAGUUAAAACAUUUUUUUUUUAACAAUUUCAAUCAUAAAAAAGCCAUAGAAUCUAAGUAUGAAUUUUAUUAUUCAUCUUUAUAAGAAUUUUUUUAUUAUUAAUGAAAGUUUAUUGAUAGAAAUAAAUUUGUUGGUAACGUAAAAUUUGAAUAAAUGAUGAAAACAUGUAUCAAUAAAUUCCGUAUGUAAGAUAGAAAAGACGAAAACUAAAAAAUUAAUAAUACAUACAAAUACAUAUAACUAAAACUUAAAAUUAAUUUUUAUUCGAAAAUAUUUGAAUCAUUAAAAUUUGAUUUCGUUAAAUAUUAAUUUAUACAAUAACAUAGUUAUAACUGUUUGCACACAUUAUAGUUUAAAUUAUAUUAUUUAUUAAGAUAUUAAAAUUAAAUAAGAAUUAUUUAAAUAUAUUUAAAAUAAUAAUUAUGAUUUUAAGAUCUUAUAUAAGUUUUCUAUAAUAUAAAAGAUAGUAAUGUAAAUAAAAUAAAAAUUUGUAUAAUUUAUUUAAAUAACAUUCAAUAAUAAUAUAACAAACUGUUAUUUAAAUAAUGUCAUAUUUUAUUACUAUUUAGUUUGUUAUUGUAUUACAUCCAAUAUAAGAUCGGAUAAACAACUUAAGUCUAUAUAAAGUUUAGCAUAACUAAAUUACAGUAUUUAAUGAAACCUGCUUAUGUGGCUUGAGGUGUUCUACUAUAACCGCUCAAUAAUAAUAAAUAAGUUGUGAAAUAUAAUCCAUCUAAAUUCCUCAACUUUGAGAUUUAACUUUACAAAAGAUGGUGGAGAAAAAUUUCAGGAAUGUCAGCAAAUUAGAAGAAUUAGUUUAAAAGAAUAAAUAUUCAACCAGGACAAAAAUUCCUAAAAUGAAACAUCAUUGUAACUGUUAAUUUAUACAUUUAAUGUUACACUUCACCUUAACAAGCUUAGUUAAUUAUUAUUGUUAAAAUUUAACAUAAUCAUUUAUUUUAUAAGUAAAUUUUAUUAUACAAAAAAUAAUUAAUUAAAAGCAAAUAGGCACAAAGAGUGGGAAAUGGCGUGGUCUCGAGAGAGUCCUACAUGAGUCAAAGAAGACUAGCUCAGCGGACGCCACGUUGCUGAACACGUGUCAAUCUUUGAUAGAUAUGAAGGUAGGAGAUGGUUCGAAAGAUAUAUAUACAUGUCAUUAGCGAGUAGCAUCAUAGGCUACGUGUCACACUUCCAUGUCUCCUUUCUCUCCACGCGUCGCUCUCCUCCUCAACGUUUUGCUCUUCGAAACCUUAUAUAUAUCUUCAAGCAUGCUUGUUCAUUCAUCAACCUUCAAGUUCAUUCAAAAACAACUCACAACCAGCUCUAACACUCGAGACAACAUCGUACAAUCAACCCAUAAGAUCGAUGGCGUCGGGACAGCAAUUCAAGGGAGACAGAGCGGAGGCAGCGGCCAAACUUGCAGCCAAAGACAUCGGCGAUAUCAACAGAGCGAACGAGCGCAACGACAACUACGACCUUCAUUCCGAGGCCAACUUUAAGCAAGCACGAGCAGAAGCAGCUGCGAAGCUCGCCGCAAAGGAUCUGGAGGAUGUUAACAGAAUGAGGGACAACAAUGCCACCACAUUCAAAGAGCAGCAGCACUACGGCGAGAACAGACCCGGUGUGAUAGGGUCCAUGUUCAGAGCCGCUAAGGAAGCGGUGGUUGGGAAGCCUCGAGAUGCGGUUGAGACCUCGCCAGGGGUUUAUGAUUCCAACAGAGAGAGGAUAACGAAGGAGCAAGGUGGGUCGAAGAUGGGGGAAUAUGCAGAUUAUGCGACCCAGAAGGCGAAGGAAACGAAGGAUGCAACGGUGCAGAAGGCUGGGGAGUACACGGACUUUGCGACUCAGAAAGCAAAAGAAAGCAAGGACUAUGCGGUGGAUAAGGCAAAGGAAGCUAAAGAUGCUACGGUGCAGAAAGCUUCAGAGUACAAGGAUUAUACUGCUGAGAAGGCUAAGGAAGGGAAGGACAGUGCAACGGGGAAGCUUGGGGAGUUGAAGGACUCUGCUGCUGAUGCUGCUAAAAGAGCUAUGGGAUACUUCACAGGCACCAGAGACGAAACAAAGGUUAACUUCAACUUGCAAGACUUUUUCUGUUGAGUUAUUGAUUUGGUUCCUAUUUAUUUAUUGUUUCUUCCUUUUCCUUGAACAGGUAGGUGGAACGGCGGAGGAUACCAGGCGAAGAACCCAAGAGGUGAGGGUGCAGGAUAAGGACUAUGGAACGGGGCAUGGAGGAGAGAAGGUGGUUAUAAAAAUGGAAGAGUCUCGCCCGGGAGCGGUGGCGGAUGCUAUGAAAGCGGCGGAGAGGGCCUUGGGCGGCGAGAUGGAGGAAGAAGGUAUCCUUCGUGUGGAGCGUCGUAGGGAGAAAAUGUGAACACGUGUGUGUGUGUGUUAUGGAUGAAGUAUAAUAGUAUUAGCAAUAAUAAUGUGCUUUGUAAUAAAAGAUAUUUGUAGUUGUUGUGGUGAAGCAUCCCUCUAGCUUUCAUUCCUAUAGUACAUAUACAUACAUUUAAAUAAAAAGUUUGGAUCACUUUUCAUUUUAAUAAUGUGUGUGUUGUAACUAUAUAUACAUCCUUGAAAAUUAAAAACUUAUUUAAUAACUUCUAC